AUUCCGAUGGUUUCAUAUUUUUUUAUUUUAAUAUUCUAUAAUUUAAAAUACAAUAAUUUAGUAUCUGUGGUUUUAUUUUUCUCUUUUUAUUAUCUUUCCCGCUAUUUUUUUUUUGUUAAAUAAGUAACAAAGUUAAAACUAAAAGGUACUAAAGUGAAUAUUCGAGAAAUCUAAGUGAGAUAUUUAAAGUUUUUUUGUAUAUAAUUUAACUAAAUGUUAACGGAGGAGCUGACGAAAAAAAUGAAAUCAUAAAUCACUAAAUUGAUACACUUUAAAUCACAUGGAUAGUAUUUAGAGUUUACCUUCUUUUUUUUUUUUUUGUAUUAAGCUCACUCUCUUGGUGAGAUCACCUGUUGUGGGAUCUCGUUAAUGUUGUUGAGAACAUAAUUUAAGGAAUGAUAUCUAAUAUAAUAUAAUAUACCUUUUAGAAAUUCAAAACUAUCUAAUAUAUUCCUGACUGACCAAAAUGUCAUUAUCGAUUUUCAAAAAUCUCUUCAAAUAUCUCCAAACUUUUUAAGGGUUUACUAAUGGAAUUUAGGGUUGAACUAAAAAUCGAGUAGUAGUGGGGAAUAAAGGAGCUGAAGCCUCUUUUUUUUUUUUUNUUUCUUUUGAGAGAGAAAGGUAGCAUGUUACUCGCUUCGUUUAUUUUUUAAAAAAUAAAUUUAGUUGAAAAUAUGAAGCAACUAGGGCAUCGAAUUUAGAACCUCAAGUAUCAACUAUCAAGUACUUUGCCACUUGUACUAGGGACAGUCGGUUAAAGCCUCUAACAUUAGAGGGGCGUUUCUUUAUAUACCCUUUAUUACUAUUAAAGAUUUUUAAAUUUGCCUUCCAAUACUCAAAAUAUCCUUCUAAAGUUCCAUCUCAUUAGUAAACUCUAAAGAGAAAAAAAAUUAUUUGAGGAAAUUUUUUUAAAUCAACAAGGAUGCUUUACUAGCCCAAGAAUAAAUAAAAUAUUUUAAAAUUUUGAAGAGUAUAUUAGAUAUUAUAUUUAUUUUUAUUUUACUCUUCUCAAUAUCAAAAACGUAUGCACGCCACUUUUUCUAAAAAUAAUAAUAAUAAAUACAAAUCUUUGAAUGGUCGGAGUAAUAAGAAAAAAUCUGAAAUGGGAUACGUCGAUACUGACCCAUCACACUCUGACUUUACACAGAAAAUGUAUGUGUAAUAGUAGUGUAGAGCUAUCCAAAUCGUAGAGAAUUUGAUUUUUUUUUAUUUUUUUGAUAUUUGGAUCAAGAAUUAUACUCCAAGAAUUGAAUAGUAUCCUAGAGUUGAGUGAUCCUCACAGGAUAAUAAUAUUAAUUCAAAGAUUAAAAAUAAUUAAAAAAACUGUUCUAAGAGUCAAAAAGUCAGAAACAUCAGAUUUUCUAUUCUUUCGAUGGUAUAGUAACUCUACUCGUAAUAGUACGUGGAAAAUUGGAAAAUAAGCUACUGUCCAGUAACUGAACAAAAAUGAAAUAAUUCAAUCGAGAAAGACUUAUUAAAAUAUGGGCUUUUUAAUAAGUAUUAAGGCUUUAUUUAGGAUUACAAAAAAAUUACAUUAAAUAUGGUAAAAAAGUACCAUGAUUUUUUUUUUUUAUUUUGGUGUAUAAUAACAAACUGUGCAUAUCAUAAUGAGUCGAUUACGAUAUAUUUUCUAUGGUCUUUUGGAAAAUAGAAAAGUAUAUUUUUAUAUACUUACUCUCAAGCCUUGGAAAAAAAAAAAAAAAAAAAGAAUUAGGACACCGAAGCUCUUGAAAUUUGGCUGGAUUAUACUUGUCCCUCGUGAAGUUGAAAACAUUGGAAAGUUAUACCUACAUAUAUAUAUAUUACAUAGAAGUAAAUAAUAAGUUAUAGGUAUAUAAAUUAAAUAUGAUGUGAUAUUAUAUAUUUUUCACUUUGUCAUUAUCAGCUAUUUGAGCCCAAAUUUUCUCAGUAAUUAGCAUUUUUAUGAGAAAAAUAAAGAACUCGAAUAUAUCUAAAUAUAUACAUCUCCGCAUUCAAAAAAAAGAAACAAGUAAACAUAAGCUUUUAAAUGGCAAGUGACUAAAAAGGCUUUCAGAAUGUGAUUGAUAAUACGACAAUGAACAAAGUGUCGCAUUACUAGCAUGUCAGUAACACAUCAAUACUCAAUCAGUAAAUUUAAUUUCAACAAUCUAAAAAUUUUGGGUCAAAAAAAUAUAUAUAACAAGGCAUACCCGGCUCAUAAUUUGAGGAUCAAAAACAUAAUUUAGUACAUAUAAUAAUUUUAGGCAAUGGUUUCUCAUUCCUGUAACAUGCAUUGCAGGAGGAAAAUAAAAAAAAAAAGGGGUAAAAACUUCAAUAUCCACCCCUCGGUUUCGCAUUUUUUCACUUUAGUACCCUGUAGUUUAAAUGCAUCAAUUUAGUACUCUGUGGUUUCAUUUUUUUCUUUUCGUCGGCUUCUCUGUUAAUAUUUCGUUAAAUUAAAUACAAAAAACUUCAAAUACCCUACAUACGUUUAUCGAAUAUUUACUUUAGUAUCCUUUAGUUUUAGCUUUAUCGCUCAUUUUUUUUUCCUCCAUUAAUAUUUCGUUAAAUUAUAUACAAAAAACUUCAGAUAUCCUACCUAGGUUUAUCGAAUAUUCAUUUUAGUACUCUUUAGUUUUAACUUCGUCACCGAUUUAACGAAAUAAAUUCAUGAAAUGAAUAAUAAAAAGAGAAAAAUGAAACCACAUGGUACUAACUUGAUAUACUUUAAACUACAUGGUACUAAAGUGAGAAAGUGCGAAACCACAUGGGCUAACUUGAUACACUUUAAACCACAUAAUACUAAAGUGAGAAAGUGUGAAACCAUAGGGGGUAUUUGAAGUUUAUCCUAAAAAAAAAAAAAAGCUAGGAUUUAAUAAAGCUUUAAAGCUUAUUAUAGUAAUCACGAAACUAUGAGUGAAAUCAAGAGGAUAAGUACUCAAUUGGAUUUGCCAAAAAACAACAGAGAAAAAUCACGAGAAUACAUAGGGAACCAAUUAAAACGCAGUAGAAACAAUGACAACAAAGUUGAUGGUCACAAGAACUGCACCAUGAUUCAACAAAGCGACCAGUUACCAUUCAAAGGAGGAAAAAAAAAAUGUAUGCCGCAGAGACACUGCCAAAACUUACCAGCAAAAAUAGACUACUACUUGUAGCCAGAGAGAGAGAGAGAGAGUUAAGUGAAUCAAUGGCGUCGACACGCAACUUCAACAUCACGAUGUGGAAGAUAAUCUGAAGAAGACACGUGAGUUUUAUUAUAAAACUAUGAAUUGUACUAUAUUAAUACAUAUUAUUUAUAUUUAGAUAUUUUCUUUUCACCAUUCUUUACCAUUCCAUGAAAUUAACCAAACACAAUUUCAGUUAUUCCUGAGAAUAGCAGCAUUACAAACCAAAUAUAAUUUUACUUCUAUUCCUGAUUAUUUAGAAAUAGUAAGCUAUUCUAAAUAUAAAAAAAUUUAUCCCGCUGUUCGUUAUCCCCUAGCUCCGAAAGCGGGAAUCCUAGAAUGUGAAAAACAUCUUAUACAGCAAUGUCAAAUCUCCCUAUCCUCUAUGUCACUUUUCCUCGGUUAGUCAGUCUGUUUACUCUCCCAUGCAGCAAAACAUCUACUUUACAUUGUUCUAUUUGUCUGUUCUGUACUGUCUGUCACCUAAACUAUUCACUAUAUACUCCUGAGGUAAGGAACUUGGCAGAGUUUUCUAUAAUAGAGAUAUCAAUAAUGUACUAACUGAAUUUCCUGAGAAACAACAAGUAAGAUUGUUUGUGUCUCAAGACCAUCUUGCUUCCAAGCAUGCAGAAUUGAUGGACCUAACCCAGAUGUCACCACAUAUCCAUCAAAUCCCAUUAUGCUAUUACAAUAUGAGUUAUUAUUUUACCACCAUAUCAUUAGGAUUGUCCAGUGGAUGCUGCUGCUUUUUCCUGCGUAUUGGUAGCAUAAAACUUUCAAUAUCCUUUAUCAACUGAGUCUUCCUCGCGUAACCAAAUGUAUUAGACAGAAAUGACUUAUUGUUUUAGAUCGAUGGCUCGGAGAAACCUGCAAACUGGGUGUCUACAUAACUGAGGAAGUAGCAUAGGCUAAUAUGCUAUUAAGCGCCAUCUAUCUAAUUCGGCAUAUUUUUGAAGAAUGUAUCUCUUCUAACAGCUUAUGUUGCCAUCCUCAAACUCUCAAAACAUAGCAUGAUAAUGAUGAGUAAUUUUACCAUAUGAGAAUAUUGUUAGAAUAAGAUGAUAAAGGAUGGAUAAAGAAAGAGUGAAGAGGGAGAGAGGGAGAAAAGGAAGCUAGUUAUUUGGAUCCCACGGUGAUAUAGAAAAAACUAAUUAUGUCCUGCAAUUAGAUAAAAUAGUGAUGACUAAUUACCAGAUGAAGAUAGUGCAUACAAGGUGUUAAAGUACGAUUACGAGGAGAAGGAAAGAUGUAAAGGAUAAGAGAGCGACAACGAUGGAAGAGAGGGAUAACAAUGCAAAAGAUUACGUCCCGUAAAGAUGUAGGACAAACCAGAGAUGUCCAACAAAUUAGAAUUAAGAAAAAUAGAAUAUCUGCAGAACAUACCAUGUAAAUCAGAAAAAAAAAAGAAAUUACAUAAAUAAAAACACCCCAGCCAAUUCAAAAGGUGACUGAAAUCUUUGUCAAGUCAGCUUUGCAAUAGAAGUGGCAAUCUUCAUGCAAGUAAACAUAUGAACAGUAAACCUAAAACAGUCAGCCAACAGCACAGAACUACAAAGAUGUUGGAGGCGUCCAACGUUAUUUACUACGAAUUGUAGCAAGACAUGAAACCACCGAGAAGGACAAAUGUUUCAACAUGGUAUUUUAUUUGCAGUUGCAACUGACUACUCUUUACGAUAAAAACAUCAAAACUGCAUCAUAUAAUUUAAAUACACUAAUAACACAAAUGUGUAGUAUCAGAUUUUAACAAUCAUUGAUAUUUGCAUCAAACUUAUUGUUACUGAAUGACUAUAUUUCGAACAACAUACAGCUUAGAAGGUGUAAUAUCAUUGGCACGAGGAAUUGGCAAUGCCAACAGGAUAUAGACAAUGGUUCCCACCUACCAACUGCAGUCUCGCAAUAAUAGGGGAAACCACAUAAAAGGGACAAUAAGAGGAAACAAAAUUAUCAUUACCUAUACAUUCUUUUUCUUUUUGCUGGGUAUCACAAACUGGAUGAACUAUAAUCUGAUCGCUCACUUGUUAACAUGUCAAAACUCGGAGUUCGGGGAUGUAGGCUUUGCAAGCACCUAAAGAAAAGACAAAAAUGGAAAUUAUGAACCUAUAAUGAGAUGCAUGAAAACAAAUCAUAAGUACAUUCAAGUGAAAAUUCUAGUACUUCUGCAAAGCGUGUUUGGCGGUGCUGUGGUUUUGGUGGCUGAUUAGUCAUUGCACGCAAAGCUUGUUUCUUUUGUUGGACUUGAAUACCAAAAACUGACUGUGCAGGUGGUUUCUUUGAUGAAACAGAAGGUAAGGUGCGAGAAAGCCAGGACUCCGAAGGUGAUUUGGGCAACGGAAGCGGAAGAACGGAUUGCACGGGUUUAAAGUUCUUUUUGAUGAGAUCUUCUCCUUUAGACUGGAAUGGACCAUCACUAAUUUUAUUGCACUUAAAAGUUUCACGGCCAUUUAUCUCUCCAGGGUCUGACACUGCCAAGGUAGUCGGUAAGCCACGUUCAUCCCUGUUACGAGCUUCUAUAAUAGAACUUUCUUUUAUCUUUCGACUUACUUCCUCAAUCUCAAAAUCCUUCUCCCCUGAUUCUAUCCUCACCUUUGGAUCUGCAUCAGGCACAUCCACAGAGUCAACCUCAACACCUUUCUCUGCUGCAGGGCUCAUCGAGCCUGAGCCUGACCCCUGCUGACUGCUAUUCUGUGGUGUCGUAUCCCAACAGUCCUCACCAUCUUUCUCGCCUAAAUCAGAGCAAUCGCCCUUACUACUCUUCCGGUCUCGAUUUGGGACUCCAAGCAAACCUUUCCCCUCAUGAAAUGGUGAUUCACGAGCCUCAUUCCGUAAGGGCGAACCUUCUCCAGUUGACCUAUGAAAUGGAGAAGACCCAUCUGCUGUUUGGGAAUCACUCCAGUAAGUAAGCUGGUUUGAAUCAUUAGUCAAUUUACUCCUUCCAUCCUCACCUCGAGAUAGAUACUUCUGCCCCAAUUUGUGCUUAUAAACAGCUUCCCAUGAAUGCUAUGCAUAUGGAACAAAGCAACAAAGUUUGAAUCAAUAACAAUAAUUCAAAAGAAGAAAAGCUAAAAACAUGCAAACCUUACCAAAACUAUAGUACAUUUGGAAAUGGUUACUUGAGCUCUUAACAUUUUGAAUUUCCUUCCUAAGACUACAUUAAGCAUCUCUGUCAUAACCAGUGAUUGUUUUAAGGCCUCGUUUGGAUGUCAGAAAAAAUUAUCCACUUAUCAUUUAUUCAGUACAAAGAUUUUCUUUGUAAGGGGAAGGUAGGAAGUUAACUUUUGCUCCUUGAAAGGCCUUGGCAUCUAUGAUUUGGUAGGAAUGCAUAUUUCACCUAUGAGCUGAUUUAUCUUUAUUCUGAAAAUGACUCAAAUGCUGAAUAUGCUAUUCCAUUCUAGACAUUUGACCACACUCCUGACUUCCAAUCAUAAUAAAAAAUACUCAUACCGGAUAGGGUAUCACUGGAUAACUUAUUCCGACAUCCAAACAUGGCCUUAGUUUUUUCUAUGGCAUGGUAUGUGACUAAUAUAAUCUAAUGAAAUUUUCUGUCACUUGAUAGAAUACUCUAUUUUUUUGACAGAAACAGCUAAAAGUUCCAUCAAAAUUUGACGGAGUUUCCUCUAAUAAGAAAUCAUGGAACUUCAGGCAGUUAAAUCAAAAGUGUUAUAAGGUUAAUGAAUUCAUUUCAGAAUGUGCCAUAGUUCAAGGUCCUGAAAAAGGGUAGAAGCUUCCAAUUACCUCAUCUCCAGCUUGGCUGAGAGUAGCAUUAUGUGAGCUCCUGAUCAAUGGGCCGGCGCUCCUUCUAGCAUGUGGUGGGGGCGGCGGUCGGCCACGGACCUUCAAUGCGGGAACUGGAUUUAGAAGACAAAGCGAGCUCUUCAGACAGAAUUUCGGAAGAAACCCACAACCGCUGGAAGGAAAAUGCCGCGCAUCAUAAUCGUCAUCUUCCUCCUCUUCCUCAUCAUUCUCAUAGCUCUCCUCUCCUUCUGGCGGCAAUGGUGGCCGCGAAUACUGCAAGUUACUAUUAUAAUUAGGCGUAUGCUGGAAGGGAAGGGGAACCGGCGGCCUCCGCCGGUGAUCUCUGGUCACAACCCUCUCCGGCUGCUUAGGGUUAGCUGCUUUACGAAAAGUGUACUGCGGAGAUCCCGACGCCACGGCUUGGGCGGCGGGCAGGAACCUCCCCAUCAUGAAAUCGCGCGCCAGCAGGUCCUUCGCAAAGCUCUCGCGAGGAGGAUCGGAAGAAGAGUGGGGCAUGCCACUCAGGCCGCUCAUGCUGCAGUUCAUGAAGAAGGACUCUGUUCGCGAUAACGUGUCGCGCGCAUCCGAGAACACAUCAUCGUCAUCGUCAUCAUCACCACCACUAUCACCAUCACCAUCACCAUCUUUCUUACUAUCGGCAUGAAGAGUGCAAUUGUUUGACUCAAUUCUCGGCUGUUCCGGUGGCGGCGGUGGUUGAUCAGUCAUUUCGUCGAACACCUUGUGCGCGCUACUCUCCGCCGGCUCGGGCGAAGCCGUCACCGCCUCAGCAUCGGGAGGCAGCGUCGGAGGCGUGGGGGUGGCCGCGCGGCGGGCGCGGCCGCUGCCGCCGCGCCGGGCCCGUCCUUGGGCUGGCCCGGGCGCUGCUCCCACACGAAGGGGACGACGCCGGGGUUCCGCACCGGCCCCGAUUUCAACUCCGACAUGUACGUCGGAAGCGGCGAUCUCCGCACGCCGUUCGAAGCCGCCGCCGCCGCCGCCGCCGCCAACUCAGCCGCCGCGGGUGGCGGCGCCGCCGCGCCGCUGCCGGAGAAGCGGCGGACGGAGAGGAGCGGGGCGUCGAAAUCGAGGCGCUUGUCCUCCAUCAGGCUCCCCAGCAUCGUCCCCGUCGGAUUCCGAACCCUAGAUCGAACCCAGAUCAACCAAAUCAAGCAAAUCGAAUGCGAAAAAACAAGGUGGAAUCAACGAUAUCUCCCGUGAGAUCGGGUAAAGAUGCAGCAAACGAUCGGCUUUUGAUCGAUUUUGGUGAUGCGAUCGGGGUUAGUGGGGAUUGUUUAGGAACGAAGCGAGCUUCGUCGUUCUCUCUCUAGGAAUUUAGAGAGAGAGAGAGAGAGAGAGAGAGAGAGAGGAGAGUGGAGGGAUCUAUACGUCGGAGGUGUGAGAGUGAGUGCCCGACUGUUACACCAAAUGAGCAUCUUUUUUCUGUGUACCCGUGAUAUAUCACUGUUACACGUAGACUUCUAUCCCCAUGUAGCGUCAAAGUAGGGGAGACAAUUCCGCUCGUGCUCAUAUUCGACUCGAAACGAGUUCGAGAUCGAAUUAUUUAUUUAGUAAACGUGCUAAACACGAGUUGAAUUUUUUAGCUCAUUUUAUAAAUAAGCCGAAUACGAGUUGGAGUCAGUUCGCUCGUACUUGACUCGAUAACAGCUCAAACACACAUAUUUUAUAUAUUUAUAUAAUUUACUUAAUUUAUAUUUAUAUAUAAAUAAAUAAUUAUAUAUAACAUAUAUUUUUAUUAUUUAAUUUUUAGUAAAAUAAAAAUAUAAAUGGGAGCUCAAUUAUAAAAAAAAAUUUAUUUAUAUAUAAAUAUAAAUUAAGUAAAUUAUAUAAAUAUAANAGUAAACAAGCCGAACAUGAGUUGAAUUUUUCAGUUCAUUUAAUAAACGAGCCGAAUACGAUCUCAAUAAUAACUCGAAUACAUAUAUUUUAUAUUUAUAUAUAUAAAUAACAUAUAUUUUUAUUAUUUAAUUUUUAGUAAAAUAAAAAUAUAAAUGGGAGCUCAAUUAUAAAAAAAAAUUUAUUUAUAUAUAAAGUUUUAACUAUUAGAUCAAAAUCUAAUGGAUAAAAUUUUAUAAAUUUUAUAUAUAUAUAUAUCCAAUUUAAUUUUUUUAAUUUAUUUUUUUAACUUUUUGUUCGUUGGUCAGCUUGUGAGUUAGCUCGUGUCGAGCCGAAAUGAAUUUUUUGGCUCGAUACUUUAACGAGCCAGCUCGUGUUUAACUCGUUUAUUAAACGGGCCAAGCACGAGCUGACCCAGCUCGUUCGUGUUCAGCUCAUUAACACCCCUACGUCAAAGUGCAAAUUUCACCACUAGUUCCUAUGCUUUCAGCGAUUUAGUAUUUGACCUUAUACAUCUGGAAUUUAUUUGAAUGACGAAAUAAACUAUCCAAUAAUAAUUUAUUCUACAUAACCGACCGUCCCUAGAGCAAGUGGCAAAGAACUUGGUGGUUGGUAUUCAAGACCCAAGUUUGAAUCUUAGUUGAUUCACAUUUUCAGCUAAGUUUAUUUCUAAAUAAAAUAAACGAAGCAGGUAGCGUGCUACCUAUCUCUAAAAAAAAAACAUAGUAUACUCUUACUAGCCAAAUAAUUUAUUUUAUUUUAAAAAAUAAUUUAAUGAACCAAUCAGAUACUUAUUUAAUAAAAAAAAUUUUAUAUAGGAUUUGGCACAUACAAACAGGAUCUUUAAGUUUGCCAUUUAAAACUCUAAAAUUUGAAAUUAUUUAAAUAGCUCGUAUUCAUAUUUCUUAUUAGGCUAAAAUAUAGGAAAAAGACAUUUGUUUUUUACUCUUUUUUCUUGGGCUUUUAAAAAUUUAUAUUUUAUUUUCUGAAAAUUUUAAGUGAAUGCAUUUAGCUCCUUAAUGUUAUUAACGUUCUAUCACUAUUAUGUCUAUUUCUUAAAAUUUAUAACUGAAUAUACCGAAAAUAUCCUUAAAAUAAGUGAAAUUAUAUUAAAAAUAAUUUUUUCUUAGAACAAGUAAGGACAGUUUAGUUGUUUCAUUUUCUCUGUUAACAUCGUAGCUUUCUGAAAUAUUUCUAAAAUAUAAGAAUAAAAAUUUUUCGCAUUUUAGCGUUAUUAAGAUAAAAUAUUAUCUAUAUCCACCACAUCGCUAUAUUUAUAUGGCAUAUUUUCAUCAAACACUGAUAUUAGAUCUUAUAUUUUAAUUUUAUCAAUUAGGUGCCUAUAGUUUUGCAAUUCUAAAAAAUGCCCAACGGAAAAUGUCGACCUUGAAAAGUUUUAGCACCAAAAUAAAAGUUACCUGUGCUAGCAGUGCUAGGCGUGGCAAUCCAGCCUGUUAUUUGCGAGCCAGCUCGUGUUCGGCUCAAAAUGAGCUCGAAAUCAAACUGCUUAUUUAGUAAACAAGCCGAACAUGAGUUGAAUUUUUCAGUUCAUUUAAUAAACGAGCCGAAUACGAUCUCAAUAAUAACUCGAAUACAUAUAUUUUAUAUUUAUAUAUAUAAAUAAUAUAAAUUUUUAUUAUUUGAUUUUUAGUCCAAUCUAAAUAUAAAGUCCAACUCAAUUAUAAAAAGGUUCAUUUAUGUGUAAAGUUUGAAGGAAAAACUCCAAAAACCCUCCCGUGGUUUCGUAGUUUCUCACUUUGCCCCCCUGUGGUUUAAAAUGUAUCAAUUUGCCCCCAUGUGAUUUCUUUUUUCCCUUUUUCUUAUCAAUUUUAUUAUUUUUUUUUCUUAAAUCAGUGAUAAAGUUAAAAUUAAAGGGUACUAAAGUAAAUAUUUGAUAAAUCUAGAUGAGUAUCUGAAGUUUUUUAUAUAUAAUUUAAUAAAAUAUUAACGAAAAAGAUACCGAAAAGAUAAAAACGAAACCACAGAGGGGCAGUUUGAUAUAUUUUAAAUCAUAGGGGGGCAAAGUGAAAAACUACGAAACCACAGGGGGGGGUUUUUUAAGUUUUCCCAAGUUUUAACCAUUAGAUCAAAGUCCAAUCGGUAAGAUCUCAAAAAUUUAUAUCCUAUAUAUAUCAUUUCUAACCUUUUAACUUAUUGUCCGUGAGUCAGCUCGUGUUCAGCUCGUUAAUAAGCGAGCCGAACAAAAGCUGAAUUUUCAACUCAAUACUUUCAUCAGCCAGCUCGAGGUCGGCUUGCUUAUGAAACGAACUGAAAACGAGCCGAACUCAACUCGCUCGUGUUUAGCUCGUUGACACCCCUAAGUAGUGCUCUUAAUAAAAUAAUAGCUAUAAAAAAAAAUAGAAAGAAAAUAAAAUAAGCUUAUGGAUGAGGUGUCUGAAAGUGGGCUUCUACCUGAAACUUUUUAUGUUUUCAGUGGACUGUUGACCUUGACUGCUAAAAAAUGGAAUCCUACCUAACUGAAUUUCUAGGCCACUAAUCCUACAAAAUUUUAUAAAUAUAAAAUAUCUGUAUUCAAAAUGUUUACUGUAAAAUUAGAUUUAAGCGGUGAAUAAUUUAUCGUUUUCAGAAAGCAAUACUUGUACUAAACUUAUAUAUUUUCUACAUUCGAGCCCUAAAAAUUGUAUAACAUUAAAUAAAAAAUAAUUUAAAAACGGUGAUCAUUUACCGUACAAGACUAAUUUUAAAUAAUUUUUUAAAUAACUAUUUUUAUAAUUUAAUAUUUUUUAAGUUUAUUAAUGGAAAAAAAAACCAACCUAACACCGAUGGACAAGAUUACUAUAUUAGUAGGGGUGAAAACAUAUCGGAUAUGAACGGAUAUUUGAUGAAACCAUAUCCAACUCCCUUUUUUUCUUUUUUUGAAAUGAAUUCACAUACAAAAUAUGUCUGGAAAGUUAAAUUUUUAUUACUAUAUUCACUAAAAAUAGACUCGGAUACAAUCGAAUAUUUCUUUAGAUUCAAAUAUAGAUUGGAAAUGUAUUUAGAUAUUAUUUGAAUGGUAAUAUACAUGACUAAUAUGCACAUAUAAAUAUGAACUAAAAUUACCAACAAUGCAACUAAAGUUUCAUAUUUAUAUCCAAAUUUCUAUAUAUCUAUAUUUAAUUGAAUAAAAUAUAUGAUUUGACAAGCACAAAUGCUAUUUUUAUAUAAAACUUAUAAUAAAAUAAACAAAGCGCACAAAGAAUUAUUUUAUUUUUCUACAAUAUAUUUUAUAUUUUCACAAAAAGCAAUCAAACAACUCCUUAUUUCACCAUAAGUUCUAUUAAACCACCUUUUAUCUCCCAAAAAAAAACAAUAUUUACUCCUUAUCUCCCCACAUAUCAAUCAAAUAAUUUAAAUAGUUAUUUUAUUUUUACAUAUCUAAAAAAUUGAAAACACAAUAUUAAAGCAGGAGAAUGAGAUAUUUGGAUCAAGGGUUUAGAAAAAUAUAAUAUUGUAAUAUAAUUUAAUAUUAUAAAAUAUAAUACUAUUAAAAGAUUCGGAUAUUCAUAUUUAUAUCCAUUUUUUCGUAUAUUUGAAUAAUUUUUAUUUUCUAGAACCAUGCAUAUAUGUGUCCAUAUCCCAUAGAAUCCCGAUAUUUUCUAUCCAAAUAUUAAUAAUAUUAAAUUAGAUAUAAAUGCAACAGUUAUAAUUACGUAUAUUUUGUUUAGUUAAAUAGAAUAGAAAGUGCAGCACUUUUAAGUAUUUUGUUUGAUUAUAUAUGUUGACAAGUGCAUUUAUAGAAUUUUAUUAUUUUAUAGAUAGAAUGAUGAGUUAAAUUCAAAUGCGUAAAAUCAAACGAUAUAUUUGAAUUUGUAUGCAAUUACAACUAUAGUAUAGUUACAAUUAUAUACAAUCAAAGAGGACCUUAAUUAAAAAGAUGGUCAAUGAAUGAUGAUGUUGUAAGAUGUAUGCUCAAAUUUAAUGGGUAAACAAUUAAUGGGCGACAAAAAAAGGGAAGUUAAACUUACCUUCAAAGGUUAAAACAAACACCCUUUUUGAUUAAAAAAAAAAAAAAAAAGUAAGCUCAAUUUAGAGAAUCUGCUUCAACCACACUCAUCAACCACUGAGAAUGGAUAAAGUAGAUCUUAAAAAAUAAUAAUAAUGGUAUUAUUAACUGGUUGACCAUAAUUAUUUUAGUUUUUAUUUACCAUUAAUUUAAGUUUUUAAUAUUUAUAAAAUUAGCAAAUUUCUAAUCUUAUUGACUAUAAUUAUUAAGUAAAAAUAUGAAAUAUAUAUAUUGUAAUCAAUUAAUUGCUAAAAAUAAAUCUAGUAGUAAUCCUAGCACUCCUAACACUCCUCUUCUAAUCCUACAUUGUAAAUAAAAAAAAAAAGAAAAAUAGGCUAUCAGGUACCACAACAACCUUUGUCUUUAGAUAUAAAUCCUUUUUCUUUUGUUUAUUGAUGUGAAGAAGAUUUUGGAUCCUAACCAAUUUGUCUAAUAUAUAUAUAUAUAUAUUCCUAAUAAGGUCCUAUUUGUAUUGCGAUUCAUUUAAUAAUAGCAGGCAAAACAGAAUUGGGGCAAAAACGACAAAAAAAAAUAUAUAUCAUACUAGCUAAUUACGAUAAACAGAUCAUAAUAUUACAUACAAAAAUGAAAAUAAUAUUUUUUGUCGUUUUUUCUCGUCACACGUAACGUAAUUUCUCUCGUAAUCACAAACAAAGCCUAAAUCAGUUAGAUUUGGACAAUCUCCAUGGAACAAAUCAAGAAUUAAGCUAACUUAGGUGAGAGAGAAAGCCAAUGUGGUGUUUUGUGUGGUCACCACAAUUGUUACCUAAUGCUAUUAAAGAGCUAGCUACCAUGCAAUGCAUUUAUGCAUUUUGUUUCCCAACCAAAGGAGAGAAGAACAAGAUUGGCACUAUCCUGAAGCCUGUGUGGCAAGUUGAAAUUUAGCAAUCAAAUGGUUCAUGUGUUGGCAAUCUGAUACGCGCUUUAAUACUAAAUUUUGAGAAUUCGCAAUUCACUUUGAUGCCAACUGCUAUAAAUUCGGUACUCGGUCUAGUAUCUGUCGUUGAGAUUGUGCAACGAAAUUAUGAAAUCAAAUUUUUAUCAUAAAUAUGUUUCUUCAGCAAAAGCUAGGGGUGUAAACGCACGAAACAGCUGGCUCGUUAACAGAUAUCGAGCCGAAAAAUUUAGCUCGUGUUCGGCUCGUUAUUAACGAGCCGAACACAGAUGGCUACGAGCUGGCCAGCGAAUAAUAAAUUUUAAAAAAUAUUAGAUUAAAUAUAUAUAAAAAAUUAAUUUAUAAAAUCUAUCUAUUAGACUUUGAUCUAACAGUGCAAACUUUAUAUAUAAAUGAGUUUUUUAUAAUUAAGCUCGAGUAUAUAUUUUAUUUUGCUAAAAUUUAAAUAAUAAAUAUAUAUUAUAUAUAAUUAUUUAUUAUAUAUAAAAAUAUAAAUUAAUAUAAAUUAUAUAAAAUAUUAAAUAUAUGUUAUCGAGCUGUUAUCGAGCCGACACGAGCAGAGCUGACCCAGCCUCGUGUUCGGCCUUUUAUUAAACGAGCUAAAAAUCCAGCUCGUGUUUCGCUUUACUAAACGAGUGAGCCGAUCUCGAGUCUCAUUUCGAGCCGAACACGAUGCUGCUCUGCGAACAGCGAGCUGAUUGCAUCCCUAGCAAAAGCUGAUCAAAAGAAGAAUUAUAUAUAUAUAUUUUAAUAUAAAAUAGCUUCAAUCUAAACUAUCUUUCUGAAUCACUUUCAUCCUUCUAUCUUCUUCUAUAAAUUCUAGAAGACUUAUCUUUUUUUCCGCCAUGCAUGCGUAGCCAACUCUCUCUCAAAUUUGGACCACCACCGGUUAGCCAUACACCACCCAAGUACAUCAAUAGCUAUUCAAAUCCAACUAGGAUUCAACUAUAGAUUUAUCCAAAUCCUGACAAUGUACAUGUACAAUAGUCGGAUAAAUAAAAAAUAAAAAAAUAAAAAGAACUAGUAUUCAAAUGCCUCUGAUAUAAUCCUCUGCGACAUUAACUCUGAACGAGCGAUGCAUAGUUGUUGAAAAUUGAUGGAUCGUUCGCCAUGCGCUACCAAUACUGAUGUACGAAAACAGAAAAAUCGAACGGUGAGAGAAUAAAUACAGAAAGAAGGUACCAAAAUUUACACCUACGUGCACAGCGAGAGUAAGAAUAACAAACUCACGCCUUAUAUCUUCUCCGAAUCAAAACCAAGAAUCUUAUGAGGAAUCUCAUCUUUCUGUUGUUUUAUCAGAAAACUCAUCAUCAUAAAUAAGAAGACUAAAUUAGAGAAAUAUAUAAACCUCCGACCAAAUUCUAAAUGCCGUUGCUUUGAAGGAUCAGAACCGCUCAGACAACUAGUUAAGAACCACCACUUCGCUGCCGACCUCGAACAUGACGCCGCAUGAAAGUUGUCGAACCUCACGAGAUGCCUCUCUCUCUCUCUCUCUGCUUCACGAGGUUUGUGUUGGGCCGUAUGCUAAUUAAUUAGCUAGAUUUAAUUUCCUAAACUAAUCCAAUUCCAAGUCAACUCGAAUUAGGAGAGAGCCCAAGCCCGAGUCUAAUUAAAAAAUUAAUCUCAAAGCUCUACCUGGACCAAACAAAAAAAAAAGGGGCACAACUUAAACACGUAAGCGCGCGCACUAAUCUUGAGAUAUUUUUAAUUUUUUUAGGGCUUAAGAAUUUUGAAAUUGUACACUGUCACGGCCUGUUAAUAGAGAAGGCGAGAUCGGUACACAUUUCACGUGUCGCUUGUCAGACUCGCUCUCGCGGGAAAAAUUCUAAAAUGCACCACUUAUAUUACUGAUGUGGCACCUUUAAUGAAUUAAGAAGUUUUUCUAAAAUUUAUCGAUCCCAUCAUAAUUUUUUUAAAAAUAUUUUUAUUAUUUUUUAAAAAAUAAGAGAUAUGGUUUAAUUAAACUUUCUAUCAUAAUUUCUAUCAGUUUCCAUAUAUAUAUAUAUAUAUAUAUUCAAGCAUGAAUCAAAUAAGAGGUAAAUUAAACUUUUUGGUCCUCAAACUAUGAGGCGUGUAACACUUUAGUCCUCUAAUUUUAAAUAGUUGUAAUUUUUGAUUCGAACUAUAAGGCAGUGACACUUGUAAACCUCAAACUUUCUGAAUUGCUGCAAUCAAGUUUUACAACCGAAUUUUUUUUAAUACGAAUUAGUAAAUUAAUUACUAACAUAGAAGAGGCGCAAGAUUUUAAUUAUUGCUACAAUUCAGAAAUUUUGAGAACUAAAUUGUCACAUAUCUUCUAGUCCUGAGCCAAAAUAUGUUAUGAAUUAAAGUUUGAAAAUUAAUGUAUCACAUGCCUCAUGGUUCAGGUCAAUAAUUGCAAUAAUUAAAAUUCGGGGGCUAAAGUGUCACAAUGCUCGUAGUUUGAGGACGAAAAAUGUAAUUUACCCAUCAAACAAAUCUAUUUAUUCUACAUGCAUGUGGAAAUUCUGAGAAUGGUAAAGCUAGAAUGCUUCUAAAAAUAAACAAGGUUGUUUACUUUCGUGUUGUUUCCGCUAGGGAAUAUCCGACCAAACGAUCAAUAGUUUAAAUAUGAUCUUGGCUAUCUGAAUUUUCUAUAAAUUUUAUAAAUAUUUUUAAUAUCAUUUGUCAUGUGAUCAAGUGAUCUCAAAUUCAUCUAAGCCACUAAAAAUAGUCAAUUUUAAGACUAUUUGAAUAUUAAGAUAAAUAAUAUAGAAAAAUCAUGAAAUGUAGAAAAUUUAAAUAAUCUAGAUCAAAUUUAAUGAUGCCAAUCACCAUUUCGAAUGUCUCAUUUUUGAAAACGAUGCAAAACGAAUUAACUAAUGCUACAUGUACAUUUCUAGAUACCCAUCAUAAGGCCCAAAUUUUGGCUCGACUUAUUAUUAUUAUUAUUAUAUCACUUUGUCAAUAUCCGUGUUUUCAUUUUUUUCUCCUAACUUUUAAAAACAUAUAUUUUGCUCCCUUAAAAAUUGAGAAAUGUUCACUAUGAGUCUAUGACCCCCAGCGUUAAAAAUCUGUUAGGGUGCUGUUUAUGUCAUAUUAUUAUAUAUUUUUUAUACACAAAAUACUUUCGAAAUUCUCGUCUUAUAUGCGCCUCCUCACCGACGUCUUCAGCUGCGCUACCUCGCCCUCCUCCGCCACCUCGUCCUUGCGCACCCUCUAUCCGUGCCCACACACACACCCACGCCCUCGCCCUCCUCCGUCGCCUUGCCUUAGCCUACCUCUCCUUCCAUGCCCAUCCCGAUCUUCUUCCUACAAUUGCCGAAAUAGAGGGGUGACGAGUUUGCUGGAGGAGCGGGGGAGCAGGCGAAAAAAAUGGAGUCGGAGUUGGGGUCAAGGGAAGGGAGAAAGACAGAGAAGGAGAGGCUGCGAAUGAGCAAGAUUGGGGAGGAGACGAAGAGGAUGAGAGAUAAUUUGGUCAUUUGGUUAUCACAGUUAAGACCGUACUCUUCUGUGAAUAUUUUUUAUUUUUUAAGGAGGCAUAAUGUAGAUUUAUAAAUGAGAUAAGUGAAAAAUCAAAUUUUGCCCAGGGAUUUGCUGUAAUUUAGCCCUUUUUUUUUCUAUGAAGACCUAAAAGAUUUUUGUAAAUCCUAAAACUGAGAGCAUAUAAGAUUUACACCUAUAUAUAAGUAUACCGGCUAUAUUUUCCAAAAGAAAUGUCUAGUGUACUUCUCAAAGUAUUCUAACUUUAAUGUUGUGAGCAUGGCUAUUAUUGAGAGAGUUAUUUGCAAGAUUAACAACAACAGGAGUUUAUAAGAAAAUAUAUAAUAAUUUUUGGCCCGGCACGGCCCGGUCUGGCCCAUUCGUAAAGAGGCCCACCUAUUUAUAGGCCCAAACACUUUGCUGGUCUAAGCUUAGCACACAAUUGAAGUGCAAACAUUUUAUUAUUCAUGAUCACAACAAUAUUCUUUUUUUUGUUCUUUCUCUUGCUUUACAAGAUUAUGACUAAUUCAUUAUUUUCUUUUUGAGUAAUUGUUGCACGCAUAACUUUUUAUUGAAAAAUAAAACUUGAUUUUGUCAAAGUUCCUAAAAAUAUGAAUUAUUCUUUUCUAACUAGAUCGACUAGAGCACUCAAACUGUUCGUUGACGCAAAAGAAUUUUCUUUUUUCCACCAUCACCUAUCCUUAAAAACUAGUUAAGGAGCCUGCGCGAUGUGGCAGAAAAACAAUACAACAGUAAGUUAUUAAAUUAUUAGCAUCACUUUUUUCUAUUAUGCAUUAAUAUUUUUAAAUAUUAUUUAUCUCAGUAUUGAAUAAUUAAAAAUUAAAAAAUAAAUUAAAGAAUGAAAUGAAAGUAUAUUUUUUUUAUAAAAAUAUAUAAACUUAAUAAGUUAAAUGAAUAAAUCAGUUUAAAAUCAAAAUAAAAGCUCAUUACAGUAUUAAAAAAGAUAAAUAAUAUUUUUCUAUUAUCAUCAAGAUAGAAUUUAUAAAUAAAAAAUAUAAAAAAUUAAUUGGAGUGCAAGUACUAUUUUUACUAUUCUUGACGGCAACGUCUUUAUUGUGUCCUCGUUAACUUUUAUUGUUACACGUACAACUAAUAAAGAAUAUAAUUCAGAUUAAUAGUAUACGAAUUAACAAAAUAUUACUCACAUGAACUAAAUAAUAUAAUUUAACUGGAGAACAAAACUAAUAGCAUAAAAACAUCCAAGAAAAAAAAAUCAAAAAUUGAAUUCUCUCAUUUCAAGAUAGUAAUUUGUUACUUUUGAAAAAAAUAAAAAAAUAAUUAAAAUUAUCAAUCAAGCAUCAUGAGUCAAUAAUCACAAUUUGAAGAGUCUUAAUUCAUAUUUGAAUAUGUGAAUAACCCAAUAUACAAAACACGAUUACAUUGCUAAAGGUCUUAUCAUAAUUUUUAUUAAAAGUAAAAAAUUAAAUGCAUUAGAUGCAACUUGCUAAUGGCCUACUAUCUUGUAUCUACUCUUAUGUAGCAAACUAUCUGAGAUGAUUAAANGUCUUAAUUCAUAUUUGAAUAUGUGAAUAACCCAAUAUACAAAACACGAUUACAUUGCUAAAGGUCUUAUCAUAAUUUUUAUUAAAAGUAAAAAAAAAAAUGCAUUAGAUGCAACUUGCUAAUGGCCUACUAUCUUGUAUCUACUCUUAUGUAGCAAACUAUCUGAGAUGAUUAAAAAAUAAUAAAUCAACUUGAUAGAUCAAACCUAAUUGUUCUCAUUUGUCUAAAUUUAAAUAAAAUUUAAAUUACAUAUUUAAAUUGUACAUUAAAAUUUUAAUUCGAAUGCAAAUUCAAAUAUCAAAAUAAAAAUAAAAAAAUUAAGUUUGAAAUCAAAAAUUAAAAAAUUUAAGUUUGAAAUCAAAUUUUAGAUUCAAUUUAAAAUUCAAAUUUAAAAUUUGAAUUGAAUUCUAUUUUAAAUAUGUUAUCGAGUACUAUAUUUAUAUAGUCCGGCUGAAGUACUAUCGAUGCCACCAAGAAUUUGGUGCUAUCGAGUUUUCUACCGUUAGAUUUAACCCUUUGAUUAUUUUUACCCGUUAAAUUAUACUAUUCAACCAACCACUUACUCAACCCUAGGGGGUCCACAUCAUCCUAACCACAAAUUUCUCAAUCCAAGGGCUAAAAAAUCAAUAGCACCAAUAGCUUGGUGCUAUUGAUAGUAUUCCAGCUUAGUUAUAUAUAUAUAUAUAUAUAUAUAGGCUACUAUACUAUCUAUAGUACCGNCAAACUUGAUGGGUGAUUAGAAAGUUAGGAGCACAAGGGCUGCUGUCCUCCUAAUAGCAUAGUAGUCCUACUUAUAUAUAUAUAUAUAUAUAUAUAUAUAGGCUAAUGCUACUAUCCUAUUAAUAGGAUAGGAGCACUUGUCCUAUCAAGUUGUUCUUGACGAUCGAGAUUCCGAAUCGAUGAUCAGAGCCGUUGAAGUUGAUCUAGAGUAUUUGAAAUAUCUAGAAACUAAAUUUCAUAAAUUUUGAUAAUGGUUUACAUGGUGAUCAAAGUGUCGUAAAAUCGAUAAUUUUUGACGGCCUAUAUGAGCCGUUUGCUUGUUUAACGGUGUAGAGCAAUCCAAAUUGCUUGAAUUUUUGAUAGAAAAUUCUUUAUACUAUUUAGAUAAUGUUUGAUAACUCUGAUUACGAACUGAGAAAGUCUAACUAACCUCUAUUUUAAAAAGGUUAUUCAUUUAUGACUGUUCAUUUUUCAACUCUUAAGAUAAACUUGAUAAUGAUUUUAAAAUAAUACAAAAUUUGGUUUCUAAACCUUUCUAAUUGUGUAGAUCAACUUCAACGGUGCCGAUUAUCAAUUUGAAGUUCCGAUCAUUCAAAUCAACUUGAUAGGACAAGAGUCCCAAUCCUAUUAAUAGGAUAGUAGCCGGACUAUAUAUAUAUAGAGUUGGACUGGGUUACUAUUAGUAGCAAAAUUCUAUUGUUGCUACCAGUUUUUUAGCCUUUGGAUCAACUCUUUUCAUUAUUUCUAACCGUUGGAUUAAAUACUAUAACCCAGUGGGGACCACUCAAUUCUAACCGACUAAUAUCAUCUUGGCCCUACAAUUUUUCAUCCAAGGAUUAAAACCUUGAUAGCAAAAAGAAUAUUUUACUAUUAAUAGUAUUCCAGCAUAAUUCUAUAUAUAUAUAUAUAUAUAUAAUUAAAGAGGGAGAGAGAGGUCUACUAAACUCUCUCUCUUAGGCGGUCCACGAGAAGAUGAAGCCCACCUCGUGGACGCGUGCAAAAAUGCUAGUGAACCCCACCAUUUUUGGUGGGCCCCACUGCGGAGAGGCAUUGUUGGUUCCCAAUUCAUAAAUUUAUAAAUAAAUUGCAUUGUUCUUUUUUUUUCUUUUUCUAUAAGGUGAAGCUCCCCCUUUUCUUCUUCUUCUUCUUAAUCUUCUCCUUUAAUUUUCUUCCGGCUUUUUCAAAUUUCUUUGGUACUCCGGCCAAGAAAAAAAAAUUGAGUGAGAAAAUUUCCAACUACGCUUCCUUGGGAGCCCGCAAUCCGCAUAUUAUUUAUGCUUCUAUCAAAGAAUGAUAAUCCUUCUCUUUAGGUAGCGUUUGGUUCGGGUAUAAGUAAGAACUAGCUAUUACAGGGAUAGGUACAAGUAUGGGGAUAAAAAAAAUAGCGUUUGGAUAAAAAUUAGGUUGUUGCCGGGGAUAAGAAAAAUAGCGUUUCAAUAAAUAAUAUGGAAUAAGAAAAAUAGUUGAUAAUUAUAUAUAGAAAAUAGAGGUGUUGGUGGGGAUAGUAAUACUGGUUAUUUUAGGUAUCUGAAAAUUACUAUUCUCGGAUAAAAAAUUUGCGUUUGGGUAUAAAGGGGAUAAGUGGUUAUCCCUCUCCUUAUCCCCAAUCCAAACACUGCCUUACGUUUUUAAAAAAUCUAAAAUUUUGGUAUUAAAAAAUACCUGCAAACAUAGUGAAUGACAAAUAUAUCUCUACAAAAUUCAACUUUUAUAUCUUAUCCCCGCAAAAGUUCAGAUAUUUUCAAAUAUAUUUAUCAGGUUUGUUACUGUCAGAAAACUAUUUAUAUUUUUAAUUUUGCCAUCACAAAUAUGUCCCUCCAAAAGUCAUAACAGUGUAAUAUAAGCGGAGUAAAAAUGUCAAAAAUUAACCAGGAUUAAGUAUUUAACCUAUUAUUAACUAAAUUUUUCUAACGGAUUCUAACUGUAGGGAUAUAUUUGAAAAUAUAAAAAUUUUACAAAAAUAAUAUAUAAAAAUUAAAUUUUAUAAAAAUAUAUUUAUCAUUCAUUAUAUUUAUAAAAAUUUGUAUAAAAUUAACUUUAAAAUUAAGAGUAGGACUACUAUGCUAUUAGGAGCACAACAAUCUUUGUGCUCCUAACUUUCUAAUCAUCCAUCAAUUUUGAUGGAUGAUUCGGACGAGAUAGAGAAUAGAAAUUCAAAUAGAAGAAAAAUUAAGACACCCAAUUUCUUUCCAAUUUUUCUUCGCUUUUUCAUUUUAACCAUCCAUCAAAUUAAUAAAUAAUUAAAAAAUUAAAAGCAUAUAAAAAUUACUGUACUCAUACAGUAGUCCUGCUCCUAAAAUUAAUAUAUAGUCCUGCUCCUAAUGUUUUGGGACAGUCCCUCCCCGCUGAAAUUUUAUCCUGCCUGCUGCUGCAGCUGAAAUUUUAUGCCCGAGACGAGAUCUGCGGGAUCUGCUGGGGAUUGCUGGCGAUGAUGAUGGACGGCGAUGAUGGAGACGGCGAUGGGACGUCUGGAUGGGAUUGCCGGCGAGUGUGUGGACGGGCGUUGCGUGGCGGCGCGAUUCGCGGGAUUUCUGCCACAUCGUGCGGCACGAAGAGGGAGGGAGAGGGUAGAUAAAAUAGGUAUUAAGUGCUUCAAAUGAGGUUAAAAUACCAAAAAAAGGAAAAAAAAAAAAAAGAAAAUGCUUGUUUUGCUCUUUUUUUUUUUCUUUUUUUUUCUAUUUUUUUUUAAGGUACCUCUAAAAAUGUAUAUUUUAUUUUUUAAAAAAAUUUAAAAAUAUUUUUAGAAAAUUGUGAUAUUAAUAAAAAGAAUAAAAUGAUCAAAUUAUUUUUAUUAGUUGUUUCCACACGCUAUUCUUAUUUUAAAAAUUUUAAAUUUAAAAUUAAAAUGUAAAAAAAUUUAAAUUUAAAUUAAAAGUUUUAAAUUUUAUAAUUUUAAAUUCAAAAUGUAAACUUUAAAAUUUUAUAUUUUAAAUUUAAAAUUUAAAAUUUUAUGCGUUAAAAUUUAAAAUUAAAAUUUGAUACUUUAUAUUUUCAAAUUUAAAUUUGAUCUUGAAUUUAAAGUUUGAAAUUAAAAAUUAUUAAUUUUGAAUUUAAAGUUGAAAUUUAAAAUUUAUAAUUUUGAACUUAAAAUAUGAUUUUAAAUUUUAAAUUUUAAUUUAAAAAUAUAAGUAUAAAUUAAAAAUUCAAAAUUCAAUAUUAUGAGAGUGGUAAUAAUUAUUUUUAUUUAAAUUAUUUACUAUCCUAUUUAUUCUAUAUUUAUUUUUAUUCUCAGGAGAAUAAACUAAUUUUUAUCCACACGCCAAAAAUUGGUAUUUUAUACAUUGUUUCUGAAACAGGCAGUUCUUAUUUUAUCCGAAAUCAAAUGAUACAUAUGGUAAUAUAUGUAGUUUUUGAAAGUCAGAAAAGAUAAUUGAAAAGAUGAGUAUUAUCAAGAGUUUUCUAUAUUUUAGCCUUAAAAUAAUUAGGAGUACUAAGUUGAUCAUAAUUUCACGGGUGUGUAAAUAUAAAGAAAAAAAAAUGUACACUUAUCUAAACUAUAAGACCAUCUGGAUUUUGCUAUCCAAUAUUUCGAAAUUUUUAAAUUUAUUAUCCGAUUUUUUAAUUUGUUUAAUUUCAAUCAAUCAACGAUAGUUUUAAUUUUUAAAAUUUAAGUAAUUAAUAUACGAAUUUAUAAUGUCGAUAAUUGCAGUAAAAUAUUGAUUAAAUCUGUAAAGAUAAAUAAUCCAUUCAAAUUGUAAAUUCAAACACUCGUUCACUGAUUCAAAUCAAAAAUCGGAAAAACAUAUAAUACCAUCCUAUGGUUUCACACUUUUUCACUUUAGUGCCAUGUGGUUUAAAGUGUAUCAAUUUAGUGCCCUAUGGUCUUCAUUUUUAUCUUUUUUAUAAUCAAUUCCACUAAUUUUUUUUGUUAAAUUAGUGACAAAGUUAAAACUAAAGGUACUUAAAGUGAAUAUUCGAUAACCUAGGUGGAGUAUCUAAAGUUUUUUGUUGUAAUUUAACAAAUAUUAAUGGAUAAGCUUGAUGAAAAGAUAAAAAUAAAACCACAGGACUACUAACUUGAUAACACUUUAAACCACAUGUACUAAAAUGAGAAAAUACAAAACCGACAUGAAGGGUAUUUAAAGUUUACCCAUAAAAAAAACUGAAAUAUGGAUAGUCAAAUCAAAUGUUUAAUAGUUCAGAUAAGUCGUAUACAUUUUUACCUUAAAAAUAAUUAGCACGCAUAUAGAGUAUAUUUUUAGGGAUGUAUAUAUAUAUAAAUUGAGCUAGAAUACUUUUAGAAGCUAUCAAUCUGUUGGUGCUUCUAAGUUUUUAGCCCUUGGAUCUACUCCUUAAUUACUAAUACCCUUGAUUCAAACACUAUUCCAACUACACCACCUACCACCAGCUGCACUAUCAUCAUCAACCAUCUACAUUCUUCCAUCACAUGUAAAAACGUUAAAAAGCACCAACCCCGUGGUGCUUUCUGAAGUAUUCUAGCUCAACUAUUAUUAUAUAAUAUAUAUUAUAUAUAACUAUAUAUAUAUAUAUAUAUAUGAAAUAGGGAUUAAGGUAUUGGUGCAAUUUCAAGUAUAAUCUUCUAAAACUCCAAAAUAUCCAAAAUAUAAUAGAUGCUCUUUCUAGAUCUAAAAUAUCGUCAAUCUAUAUAUCUAUACCUUAUCUAUACCUCUAUAUCUUCUACACAUUAUUUUCUCUAAAUUUGUCACAUGGCAACGUUCGCUUUAUUGUUGGGUGUGGGCUCCACCCCGAACUUGCUCAAAUCCAUUUUUGUCUUUCUUUACUUGAACCAAACCGAAAUUUUAUCUUUCUUUGCUUGAACCAAUCCAAUUAUUAUUGAGUGUGGGUUCUCCCAAACCGGCUCAAGUCCUCCACAUAUUUUUUUCUUUUUUUUCUUGAACCUAACUGGGUUUUCCUUUUUUUUUUAUUAAACCGAACCGGAUCACACCUCUACAUUGGACCGAACUAUUCCUAUUCCACUUUUUUUGGCUAUUACCUUCAUUCAUCGGCAAGAUGAAUCUCACUCCUUAUCGUCACUUCUUCCAUCGCCGUUUCCUCUUCCUUUGUCGUCAUUUUCUACUUUUUUUCUAAUUAUCUACUCGUCGCAUCACACAGAUUACUACAUUAGUCUAUAUCUAUAUAUUAUAUAUAUCUAAAGUGGGUGGGAGAAGGUAUAGAGGGGGCACAUGGACACAUAUUAUAUUAGUUAAUUUAGUGCACCCGGUGCACCAUAAACCAUACUAAGUGGGUGGAGGAAGAUGGGAAGGGACACAAGUUGUGUCGGUUAAUUCAGUGCACCUGGUGCACUAUAAAAGGGUAAAUUGUAUUGUUACCUGAACUUUUGGCGAAGUUUCACUUUACCCCUCGAAUUCUAAAAUAGACAUCUGACACCCUAAACUCUAAUAUUUCAUUCACGUUACUCCUUCCAUCAGUUUUCCGUCAAGCUCCGUUAACCAGAAACUGACGGAAGGGGUAAAACGAAUGAAAUAUUAGAGUUUAGGGUGUUAGAUGCCUAUCUUAGGAGUUUAGGGGGUUAAGUGAAACUCGCCAAAAGUUCAGGAGGUAACAAUGCAAUUUAUCCCGACUAUAAAUUAUUUUUAUAUUAAAAAUUUUUAAUUGGCUGAAAUGAAGUACACAAAUUUUAUUUAAGUGUAUUUUCUAGAGCAAUACUUAUAAAGAUAAAAGAGACAAACAAGUACUACAGAAAAUUAACUGAAAAUUAAAAUAUCUAUAUCCGAGUGAGGUCGCCUAUUGUAAAGCAACCAUAUUAGUGAGUACGCCAGGAUAGUAGAGUGUUCGAGCAUCGUAGGUAAUUAGUAUCACUAUUUUUUUAUCUUUAAGCCACUCUAUUCAUUUCUUUCGCCUUUAUUUUAUUACAAUAAAAUAUAGAAUAAAUUAUGUUAUGAUUUAUUUUAGAAUAAAAAAUAUAUAUAAAUUCAAAAUCAAGUAUGAUCACUAACUUGAGGAUUAGUAAUAAAUUAUGUUAUGAUUUAUUUUAGAAUAAAAAAUAUAUAUAAAUUCAAAAUCAAGUAUGAUCACUAACUUGAGGAUUAGUAGUCAAUCCAUAAGUAAAAUAUUAUAAUAAAAUAAUUUAUAGUCAAGAGUCCUCAACGGGGUAAAUUGCACUACUACCUUUUGAACUUUUAGCGAGUUUCAUUUAACUCCCCAAACUCCUAAAAUAGACAUUUAACACCCUAAACUCUAAUAUUUCAUUAAUUUUACCCCUUCCGUCAGUUUCUUGUUAACGGAGCUUGAUGAAAAACUGACGGAAGGGAUAAUAUGAACGAAAUAUUAGAGUUUAGGGUGUUAGAUGUCUAUUUUAAGAGUUCGAGGGGUAAAGUAAAACUUCGCGAAAAGUUCAGGGGGUAACAAUACAAUUUACCUCACUAUAAAACAUAACCAAAUAUCAUAAACUUUAAUUAAUUAAUAAACAAAAAAAUUAUCUAUUAUCUAUUAUCUAUUAUCUAUUACUAUAUACUAAAGUGCGUGAGAUUCUUCUUUUAUUGACGUGUCCGGCUCAACUACUCAGUACACCCGAUGCAUCGUAGACCGUUGAUUAUCGACAUAUGUAUGGUCUAUGAAGGUCUAUGAAAAAAUCUUAGGUGCAUCUGAUUUAUUUCUAUCUAUUCUUUCUUCUACAUUAAAAAAGGGUUUGAGGAUGACACGUAUCCCCCAAAACCCUCACCUCCUCUCACUCCUUACCUAUAUAUAGAUAGGGUUUUAAAAUUUUAUAUUAUAAAAUUCUAAAUUUUGGAUAUCGAAAUUUUAAUUUAUUCCUAAAUUUUCAACUUUAAAAUUUUAAAUUUUAAAUCCUAAACUAUAUAGAAUUUUGAGGUAUUUUUCUAAAUUGCUUUAAUUCAUUGUCCACAAACUACUAAACCAAUGAGAAUACACAUUCAUUUUUUGUCAUUUAUCUAUUGUAAGUCCAAAUUUUAGAACAAAUUAAAUCUUUUCACGUUGGUGCUUAAUUGUGGUAAAUUUAAAAACUUCUUACAAAAUUAAAUACAUGUUCAUAAAUUCAAAAAAAAUUAUAAAGUCAGUCAAUUAAAAACCUACGAAUCAAAUAACUACUUUUUAUUUUAUCAUAAUAUUUUCAAUUCUCGAUAUUGCUUGCAUGGGUCAACAAAGUUACAAAAAUGAUCUGAAUAGAGUUAGAAGAAUAAGAAUUUAAAAAACACAAAAAGAUGAUAUGUAUUUUUUAAAACAAACUGGCGUAAAAAUAAACAUGUUACAAACUCUUCCUUUUUACUUCUGAAAAUUUUGAAAGUUUACGGAAUCUCAAGAAUCUAAAUUUAAACUAUAAAAUAUCUAGAGACAAAAUCUGUAACAAAAUUUUUUAUUUUGAAAUCAGAUAUUGAUACAAAAAACAAGGCCAUCGUACCCGCAACAAAGCGCGGGUACAUCGCUAGCAUUCUUUUAAAACACAAAAAUAAUUAUCCCAUUAAACAUAGAAAUCUAUCGCAAAUAUCCUCCUAAACUUCAAAAUCUUAGCCUAAACCCUAAACCCUGUUGUAUAUACAAGGACGGCAAUGAUAUUUUACACUUUGAGGGGUAUUUAUGAAGUUACCAGUUUGUAGAGGACAUUAAAUUAUAUGUGUGUGAGUUACAUAGUUCUUAGGCUUAGUUUGGUAUUAAGGCCUAUCUAACGCUAUUUGAUAAAAUGGAGUUGUGAAAAAAGCAUAUAGGGAUAUGCUUUUGCGUUCUCCAGUGGGAUCGCAGAAAAUAUAGCGUAACCGACUCAUCGUGAUAUGCGGAACGCAAUAUUACGUACGGAAACAAACAUGGUAUUUUUCCAACGUACUUUCUCACCGCACGUAACGCAAUCUCCCGGCAAUUCCGAACGAAGCCUUACACGAUGGGUAAAGUUUAGGGUUAAUUUCAUACAGAUCCCUGCAAACAUGGUGAAUAGCAGAUAUAUAUUCCUGCAAAAUUCAACUUUCAUAAGUUAUCUCUGCAAAAGUCCAAUGUAUUCAGAUAUAUCCCUACCGUUAAUACCCGUUAGAAAAAUCUAGUUAACCACACUUAGGGCGUGUUUGGUUCGAAGUCGGAGUCGGAAUCGGAAUCGGAAUCAAAAUAAGUUGGAAUCGGAAUUGGAAUGACUCAUUACCUAAUUCUGUUUGGUUCAUCACCUGAAUCGAAAUCGGAAUAAAUCAUUCCCAUUGUCGGUGUUUGGUUCAGAUGGAUAUAAAAACAUAAUCAAAUGAAUAUACUAACAUUAUCUUUAUAAUAUAUUAAUUUAAAUUUAAAUUAAAAUUAAAUAUUAAAAAUUUACAUCAAAAUUUUAAACUUAAUAGGUGAGUUGAAGUUUCAAAUUAAAAAAAAUUUUUUUUAUCUAAAUUUUAAAACUGUAAUAAAGNNNNNNCUUUGAAGUUGAGUGGAUAAUUCAAAAUAUGAAACUAAAUUUUGAUUUAUUCAAAUUCAAACUUAAAAUUAUAAUUUAAAUUUUAAUUUGAAUUCAUAAAUUUAAUUUAAGUUUGAAAAAAAAAUGAAUAAACUUUAUAUAAAUUAAAAUUUAAUUUAAAUUCAAAUUCAUAAGUUAGAUUCGAAAUACUUGAUUAAAUUUUAAUUUUUAAUUUAAGUUCAAAUUAAAAUUUAAAAUUAUAUAUUUAAUUUCUAAAUUUUAACUCAUAUUUUAAUUAAAAAAGUUGAAAAAAUAAAUUUAAUCCAAAUAAAUAUCUAUUCCGCCCGAAUUCAACUUUCAAUCCGGCCUUCUAGGCCGGAUUGAAAAAAUGGUGAUUGAGCGAUUCCCAUUCCACUCGAAAAUCGGAAUCGGAAUGGGACUCCCACGUACCAAACACCCACAAACGGAUUCACUCAUUCCCAUUCCGAUUCCAUGGUGAAAAAGAAGCGAACCAAACACGCCCUUAAAAUAUUUAACCAUGAUUAGUUAAUAAGGUAAAAUGAUAUUUUUACCUUUCUUCCUCUUCCCCUUCCUCUUCUUCUUCCUCUUCCUCUCCUGCUUCUUCUUCUUCCUCUUCCAUUUUGUAUCCUCAUUUUCCUCCUCUUUUUCUCCUCCUCCUUCUUCUUCGUCGUCUUCGUCGAUGAUCCGAUCGUCGUCGCCGUCGUGGUGCCCGCGUGGGCCGUCGUCACGGGCGCCUCCGACGUCAUCGACUGCGCCUUGGCCUUCCGCUUCUUCCUUGUCCUCGUUGGCCGCAAUCCCGACAAACUCCGCAAGGUGGCCGUCGCCGCCGUCCGCUCCCACAACAUGAAGAGGAAAAGGAAGAUGAAGAGGACAAGGGCAAAAUAGUCAUUUCACAACUCUACUGUUAAAAUAUUAACAGUUCUCUAACAUAUCUAAACCAGAGGGACAUAUCUGAAUACAUUAGGGUUUUUGCAGGAAUAACUUAUGAAAGUUGAAUUUUACAGGAGUAUAUCUGCUAUUCACCAUAUUUGCAGGGAUCUAUAUGAAAUUAAUCCUAAAAUUUAAAUCUAAGAGACCAAAAAUUAAGAUCUAAACUAUUAAAUAUGAUAAAAAAAUAAAAAGAAUGUCUGUAAAGUUUUAUAAAUAUUAAAAAUUAAUUUCUUAUAUAUCGAAUGAUGUGAAACGAAGAAUCCAAAAUUUUCUGGGAAGCAUAAUCAGCAUUAUAUUGAAAACUAAAGGUAUAGAUUUCGAAAAAUUUUAGGGAGUGAAAAAAUAUUACAGAUAUUUUAGAGUGCUUAGCUGGCCCGCUUAAACCCUAAGUCCUAAACUCUAAAUUGAAAUUUGAAUUUAAAUUUGAAUUCAAUGGAUUUUGAAAAUUCAUAUUCAAACUCGAGUCUGACCAAAAAUAUGAAACCGAAAUCCGAACUCAAACCCAAAAAUCCGAACCCGAAAUAAUUAUUUCUCAUUAUCGUAUUUCAAAAACAUAUUAUUUUUAAAAUCUCAAAAUUUUAAAUUACAAGCUAAAUAAAAUUUAACAUCAAAUAUUAUAAGGUAAAAACAAUUCGGUUUGGGUCGGGUUCAAGUUCGGGUCACGUCAGAAUAAAAUCCAUACUCGAAUUCAAAUCUAUCAAGUUUUCUUUUUCUAUGCCCAUCUGUUUAGUAUCGAGUAAACUCACUCCGAUCGAAUUCGGAUUCAAAAUAAAAUUUUUGGUAUUUGUACCAUUGACAUCCCUAAACAAACAUUUAAGUGCAAGUAAUAUUUCCACACCCAUUUGAUUAUGGUUAACCCUCUAACCAAAAUAUACUCUUCUAAAAGUUAAUUUCAUUAGUAAAUAGAUAUUUGAAGAAUUUUUUUAAAAUUAAUAAGAAUAUUUUGUCCUAUUUAAAUUAAAUAUUUUUAAAAUUUUGUACAAAAAAAAACUUAUUAUAUAUAUUUACUAAUGAAAUUAACUUUUAGUUGCUCAAAACAUCCAUAAUUUAACAAAUACUUAUUUAUUUUAUCUAUAAUUUUUUAAAUAAAAAAAUAAUAUUUAUAAAUCAUAAAUUUAUAAAUAAUUUGUGAAUAUCUGCAUAUACCAAUUAAGAUAGUGAAAUCUAGUCCUCGUAUAAGAGAAAACAAUGAUUAGUUUAGAUUUUUUUUUUUUUUGUGGUUUUCGAAAUAUUUUAUGUGGUGUGUGAAAUGUGCACGUAAACGACCGCUGCCGGUAACAAUCUUUCUUGUGUGCGCCUUUUCCUCGCUGUCUUCCCGCCCCCCUUAUUUAUUCGGCGCUCCUUCGCCCGCAGACGUACGCCAAAAAACGAAAAGCGACGACCGACCGCUGGUCCUCGCAGCACGCCCCCAUCACAAUCCAACGGCGGGCAGCUCACCUUUCUCUCUCCCCCCACCUGAUAGCGAGAUUAUCGAGGAUCACUCCCCCGCUUUUCCAACUCUACCCCUCCCACCUCUUUUUGUUUCACCAAGCAAAAAUAUUUUGUUUGGUUCGGAAAUAAAUAAAAAAUGACUAUUUCAAAAAUAGAUAUAUAAAUCAAAAAUAUAAAGAGGAUUAGAUAGGUAUAAAUUACAAGAUUUUUUUAUAAAUAUCAUUUUUUUAAUUUUUUCUCGCUAAUUUUUUUAAAAAUAUUCUUUCCCCUCUUAAUAUUUUAAAUUAGGAAAAAUUUCGAAUACCAUCCCUAUAGUUUCGCAUCUUUUAACUUUAGUAUCAUACUAUCAUGUGGUUUAAAGUGUGUCAAUUUAGUACUCGGUGGUUUCGCACUUUCUUACUUUAGUAUCAUAUGGUUUAAAAUGCAUCAAUGUAGUACCCUGUGGUUUUUUUUUUUUUCUUUUCGACAAAUUAUAUACAAAAUACUUCAAAUAUUCUACCUAAGUUUAUCGAAUAUUUACUUUAGUACCUUUAGUUUUAACUCUGUUACUGAUUUUAUUUUCCUCCAUUAAUAUUUCGUUAAAUUAUAUACAAAAAAACGUAAGAUACCCUAUCUAGGUUUAUCGAAUAUUUACUUUAGUACCUUUAGUUUUAACUCUGUUACUGAUUUUAUUUUCCUCCAUUAAUAUUUCGUUAAAUUAUAUACAAAAAAACGUAAGAUACCCUAUCUAGGUUUAUCGAAUAUUCACUUGUACCCCAUAAUUUUAACUUUGUCACUAAUUUAAUGAAAAUAAUUAGUGAAAUAGAUAAUUAAAAAAAAAAAAAAACCACAGGGUACGAACUUGAUACACUUUAAACCAUAGAGUACUAAAGUGAGAAAGUACGAAACCAUAAGGGCUAACUUGAUACACUUUAAAUCACAUGGUACUAAAGUGAGAAAAAUGUGAAAACCACAAAGGGAGUAUUUAAAGAUUACCCUUUAAAUUAUUACAUUUAACCUUUCUCUCUCAUAGUUUCAUUACUGUUCCGUUCAUUUCUUAUAAUUUAUAUCAAAAAUAUUUUUUAAAAUAACAAAAAUAUAUUAAAAAACUAUUUUUUUUAAAAAAAAAUAAUUUGAUCAUUUUACUUUCUUCAUUAAUGUUUUUUUAAAAUAUUUUUAAAAUUUUAAGAGAAUAAAUUAUAAAAUUUUGAGACUGAGAGAGUGAAAGUGAAAAAGUAAGUGUUUAUAGAAAAGUUUUCUAUAAUCUAGCCGAAAUAUUUUAAAGGCGGUUUGGUUCUUCAAAAAAUAUAAAAAAAUUGAGAAAAAAUAUUUUAAAAAACUUUUUUUUAGUUUUCUAUCUAUUUGAUUUUAAAACAAAUUAACUUUUUAAAAAACUAGUCUUUUAGUUUUUCUAAAAAGAGAUUCAAAAAAUUAAAACACGAAUUUUUAUGAAAUUCCACAAUUUUUUUUUUAAAAAAACCUAGUUCUUUGGAAACAACUGGACAAAAAAGUGAAAAUGAGUUUUUUCUUUUUUUUUUUUUUACUGCUUGAUGCAUUUAGCCUUGUCUAUUAAGAUUUCAUUACUGUUUUAUCUAUUUCAUAAAUAUUUUUUAAAAUAGUAAAAAAUAUAUCAAAAUAUUAUUUCGUUUACUCUAGAACAACCAAAAAGACAAUUUGAUCAUUUCACCCUUUUGAUCAACGUUGUAAUUUUUUGAAAAUAUUUCUAAAAUUUUGAGGAGGAAAAAAACAUAGGUUUUAAAAAUCAAGAAGGAAAAGUUAAAAAAUGAUAUAUUUACAAAAAUAUUUUCUAUAUUUUAGCUAAUUUUUUAUUUGCAACAAAUAAAUUUCAAACUGAUCAUUCCCAACGCAAGUUAUUAAGAACUUGAUAGGUUAAAUCCAAGGUAAUAAAUUUGAAACUUAAUUACUUAUACAUUUUUAGUUAAAGAAUUGUUUGGAUUUUAGAAAGCGUAUGAAAGAGGUUUUUCGAAAAAAAAAAAUUUAUGGAAUUUUUUUUUUUUCAAUUUUUCGUCUGUUUGGUAUUAUAAAAAACUAGCAAUUUUAAAAUUUAUAUUUCUGAUUUUAUAGAAAACUAGUGUUUUUGUUUUUUGACGCUAGUUUCUAUAAAAUCGAACCCUUUUUUUUUCAAAAAAGCUAUUUUUUCUUGAAAAUAAAUGGGUGAAAACAAGAGAGAAAAACCUUUAUUUUCCUUAUUUUUUUUCAUACUUUUGCAAGAAAACCAAAAAAAUCCUUUAUUUAUUAAUAACAUGCACGAAGUAGAUACCAUGCUAUUUUUAUCUCAAAAAAAAAAAUAAAUUUUACAAUAUUUUACAAAUUAUGUAAUUUAAUGGUUGGAUUUCAAUCUCAAUAUUAAAAGUCAUGCUUAGCUUCUCGUGAUUUAUACUUUAUUAUUAAUUAAUACCAGCUACGCUCUUCUACAAAGUAUUGUAAAUUAAUCAAUUUGUAAGCAUAAUAUUACUCUUCAACAUAAUAGAUUGAAGUGAGACUUCGAGGUAAACUAGAGUUCAAGUAAAACUUACUUCCUCCUGUUCUUCAUUUAUAGAGCUGUGAAAUUGAAGUUUUUCGAGAUCUAUUUUUUAUUUGGUAAGAAAUGAAUGACGUGAAAAUUAAAGAUGUGAAAAAUGAAUUAAUAUUUUAUUAUUAUUAUUAUUAUAUCGUAAUUGACUUUUAGUUUGGGGCACUGUCUUGAGGACAUUGAGAUUUAACUAAAGAUGAAGUUACGGUGAUCUAAAUAAAGAAAGUAGACAUUUACUGCUAAAAACCACUUUACCCAUUUCUAGGUGAAAUAAACACACAAAUUAAAAGUGAUUUCUCUAGAACUAAAAUCUAGAUAACAAUUAUUUAUUUUUUUACGGGGGUCAUUCAUCCUAGAACUACUCCCGUUCUAAUACGUUUUAACUCUCUUAACCUCUUGGAUCUAGCCACCACCUAAAAUACUUAAGCCGGAUUAUUAUGUCUAGUCCAAAAUCACUAGACGAUGUAAAACUUGUCUCGUAAGGCUUUGUCAUUCACUGACCCUGAUUUAAUUUGUCAGCCUAAGAAUGUUAGCUGAUGUGAGACUUGUCUCGUUAGCUUUUGUCAUUCUGAUCAUAAUUUAGCCUGUCAUUCAUCAACUCUGGCUCAGCCAAGACUCACCUCAUAUUUUCGACCGGUGAAUCGGCUCUGAUACCAAAUAUAACAACCCAACCCGCUAGCAAUAAUAACUUGUUGGAUCCAAACUAUCGACCAAACUAUUAAACCUAGUUAUUAUUAUUAGGGUGGAGUCCUCUUGUAUACCCAAAAAAAACUCAAUUCUCAUCCGAUGUUCGAGCUAUCACCUUAUCUUUUAGGCAGGGACUCAGUCGAAACUUGCCACACAUUUUUCUGCUGGUGAAUAGCUCUAAUACCAAUUAUAAUAAUCCAAUCCACUAGCAACAAUAUCCAGACCCUGGUAUAGCGGUUCACCUUAUCAUUCAGACUCCAGCAUCACCUAUCACCUUGUCUUUUAGACCCUAACUCAGUCGAGACUCGCAACAUAUUUUCAGUUAGUGAACUGGCUCUGAUACCAAUUAUAACGACCCUACCCGUCAGUAACAAUAACUUGUUGGGUCCAAACCACCGGCUCAAAAUGUUUAAGCCUAAUUAUUAUUAUUAGCGUGUAAGCUUUAUAUAUUCUAAUCAAAAUUAUUUUUCCAUCCUACUAAUAAUACUAACUCGUUGGGCCAAACCAUCGGCUUAAAAUGCUUAAGCUCAGUUAUUAUUACUAGCAUAUAGGCUUCAUAUAUUCUAAUCAGAAUUAGUUUUUUCACUCGAUGUGAGACAAUUGCGGUGUUACAAACUCUCAUUGUCCUCGUCGAGUCCAAAUCAGAUUACAGAUGCAAACCAAAAUUAGCAGGCGGUGUAAGAUUCAAAAGGUAACUCCCAUCAAAUUCGUUGGUGUAGCACUUUGUUCCACAUAACACUUAGCUCUCACACUUCCGGCUGACAUUCGGUUCUAAUACCAACUAUGAUGUCCCAAUUUCUCAGGUGGUCAUCCAUUCUAGGACUAUUCUCGUCCUAACACGCUUAACUCUCUUAUCCAUCGCCCAGCACAAAGUUAAUUACAACGUUAUGAUAAAUAGAGUCACGAAGAAAUUUAAUUUAUAAUAAAUUGGCCAACCAAAAUAAGCAUUCACAACCGAAAACAACUUCGCCUCUCUGCACUUUCGGCAAAAGGAACGUGCCCUUAGCCGUAUGUCAAUAUUUAAUUUUCGUUCUAAUCACGUACCGGAAAUUUAUUGUCUAUUAAUUAAUUAAUAAUAAUAAUAUAAUACAAUAUAUAUUAUUAUAUUAUAUAUUUAAUUUUUUGAAUAAAUUGUUUGGUGAAUAAUAAUAAUAAUAAAUAUAAAUAUAAAUAAAAUAAUAAUAAUAAUAAUUUGUGCCUCUUCCCUCGCGUUUCCCGGUCAAACCGUCCCCAGAUCCAACGGCGGUGAUGCUCCGAUCCGCUUUCCCUCGCCCCCCCGGCCCUCGCCUGACCCAUCACGCGCCAACACGUCGGCGCACGCGUACCCCCCGCCACAUGCUUCGCACGCGCUUUCGCACGUCCGGCGCCCCCCGCCGCUCCUUUUUCCUUCCCCCCAACCCCCCAACCCCAACCCUAACCUAACCCUAAUCCCCCCCCCCCCUCCCCUCCCCAGUUCCCAAGACCUACCGAUCCCACACAGAAAAAAAAAGGGGUGGGCGAAGCAACACGAACGUAGAACAACGUAGGACUUGAUCAAAAAGAUAAAUUUGUAGGAAAGUUAUAUUAUUUGUCACAUCCAGGGAUGGAAGUGAACUAGUGACGAAAGUUGAAGGGUUUUAAUGAAAACUAUAGGACUGAGUAACAAUUUUGGAUAGUUUAGGGACUAACGCUUACAAAUCGCCCGUUUAUUAGUUUCUCCAACAUAAAUAAUUAGAAGUCACUAAAAAAAUAAUAAUAAUAAAUAAUAAAUUAAAAAAAGGUAGCAAAACCUUUGCGCUCCUCACGAGCGAGAGGACGCCGAAGCUCGAUCCCCUCCAUCUCCUCCGCGAUACCCUAACCUAGAGAGAGAGAGAGAGAGAGAGAGAGAGAGAGGAGGAGGAGGAGGAGGAGAUUGAGAGGGAUUACUUACUAGGGUUUGGAGGAGGAGAUGGAGGGGAGGGAGACGAGGGGGCCGCCGAACCCGGCGCUGCCGUACAGGGAGGAUUGCUGGAGCGAGGGGGAGACGUCGGCGUUGGUGGAGGCGUGGGGCGACCGGUACCUCGAGCUGAACAGGGGGAACCUCCGCCAGAAGCACUGGCAGGAGGUCGCCGACGCCGUCAACUCCCGCCGCGGCGCCGCCGUCUCCGCCGGAGCCGGAGGAGGAGGAGGAGGAGGGGGAGGGAGACGGCCGCCGCGCACCGACGUGCAGUGCAAGAACCGGAUCGACACCCUCAAGAAGAAGUACAAGGUCGAGAAGGCCCGCAUCGCCGACUCCGCCGGCGCCCUCCAUAGCCCCUGGCCCUUCUACGCCCGCCUCGACGCCCUCAUCGGCUCCUCCACACCCCCCGCCGCCCCUCACUCCUCCGCAUCCGCCUCCGCCUCCGCCUCCGCCGCCCCUAAAAAGCCCUCCUCCUCCCCUCCCUUCGCCCUCCCCCUGCCCUUCCACCGCAAGGGCUUCCGCAAGGCGGCCGCCGCCGCCGCGGCGGCCGCGGCCGACGACGACGAGGACGAGGAGUCCGGAUCGUCGUCGAGGUCGCUUUCCUCGCGGUCGAAGUUGGGGAAGCGGAGGAGGGGGAGGGAGCGGGACGAUGGGGACGGGAUCCGGGAGCUGGCGAGGGCGAUCGAGAGGUUCGCGGAGAUCUACGAACGGGUGGAGGGGGCGAAGCAGCGGCAGAUGAUGGAGCUGGAGAAGCAGCGGAUGGAGUUCGCCAAGGGGCUGGAGUUCCAGCGGAUGCAGAUCUUCGUCGACUCGCAGGUCCAGCUCGAGAAGAUCAAGCGCUCCAAGCGGGCGGACGCCGGGGAGCCGAUUAGAUCCGUCGCUGCCCUUCAUUUCCUUUCUACCCCGCGGUUCUUUGGAUGAACUAAAGUGCUCGACCGUUCGAUCUCUAGGUAUAAGAUUCUAUUCCUUUUCUUUGCUUUUGAUUUUAUAUACGUUUCGACGAAUGUGAUUUACGUAUUCUAUACAUCUCUAUCUUUAGAUCUUUACUUUUGGUCUUGUCAUCUUUUUUUUGUUGUUAGAAGAAUAGUAAUCGAGUUUUUCUUUCCUUUGAAGUUGUUUAAAUAGGAAAUUGGAGGCGUCAGAUUGGUGUAUUGUGUUAUGUGUUGAUGUCGAGGUGAGUACUGUAGGUAGAUAUUAUUUCAAUCAAUUGAGAGUAGGUUUUAUUCGGAAUUGCCUUUUUUAGGUAGUAUAGAUGUGCUUGGUGCCAUUGAGUGCUUGUUGGUUAGGAGGUGAAGAUAGUGAAUCUUACAAAUUUGAAUUUGUUAGGUAAUUUAGUGGUAUUAUUUCCACUGUUAGAGAGAUUUUGUAAUUAAUGGAGCCUCUGUUAUCUCAAUUAAAAUUGUUGUGUUGUUAUGGAGGUGAUUUCUGUAAGCACCUGUCUAGUUUUCAUUAGAUAUCGGUGAGAAACUAAAUGCAACUUUGACAUGAUGCACAUAUGUAAUGUGCAUUCACUAGCCCAAUUGAUUUUGGUUUACGAAAUCUAUGAAGCUGAUUGCUUUUCGAUGUUUGUAUUUUCAUAAGUUGUUUUUUAUAUGAACGAAGUGGUCUCUUCUAUUUUGGUGACUAGAUAGUUAGGAAACAAAGGUUAAAUAAUGUCAAAAUUAGAUGAUACAUUGCUUCUUGAAGUUCCAGUUAUUCAUGUUGCUUAGCUAGAGAUGUAAUCUGUAAGAGCCUUUCCACUUGGAUUCUUAUUAAGAAUCAUGUUUUGUCUUUAUUAAUGACCCGUGCUUGUUGAAUAUGAGUGAUGAUUCCUAACCAAUCACUAUGAUGCCUUCAAGUUUUUCAAACUUUGUGAUUAAGCUUCAUAUAUACUGGAGAUAGUUCAAAAGAUGCCAUGUAUUCUACAUAGAAAUUGCAUUCUUACUUCGAUGUUUUUCUGUUCAUCCUCUAUGAACGAUUUGCAAUGGUGAACAAAUUAUCCUUCAUCGUCCUAAUAUCCUAUUAUUUUUCAUUUUUAAGCCUAGAGUGUUUGGCACAUUGAACUAAUAGCUAGAAGAUUCUUGAAAGUGUUUUUUUUUUUUUUUGUUUUUUAACACUUAUGCAUGGUAGAUGCUUAUUUGAAAUAUUAAACACUGCUGGUUUUUGAUCUGGUGGAGAAUUAUAUAUCUGUGAUAAGAGUAUGCAUGAUGUGGUUAUAUUUACCUGUCAAAAUAAGAGUAAUAUUAUUUAUAGGUUUUUCUCUUCUUUGUAUACUGCUUAACAGCCAUUGUGUUUGUGGCCUCGGCCGUUUUGCCUUUUUAUCCUCCACCUACUACUAAUAUUUUGUGCUACUGAGGUGCCCUUGUUAUCUUUUAUGUUGACACGCACUGCUUGAUGGGAAUUGGUCUUUCUUGCUAAUUUUAACUCGAAACUUUUGCAUCUAUCAUCUGUUGAACUUUAUUAAACCAUUAGACAUGGUAAAGUAAAUAUUGUGAGUGAUUAAAGCAAUAUUGCUGAUUAAAACACCACUUCUCUACAAUACUCCUCGAAAAAGUCUUUACAGGUUGUAAAAUCGAAUCGUCGUUUUAGCUUCUCAAGUUAACCAUCUCCAGGAGAGUAAAUGAUUUACAGCUUGCAAUAAGUGCGUUACAUGAAAUUCAAUUCAUCAGUCAAACUUCUUCUGCCUGAUUGGAAGCAACCUGGGGGAGCACAUCUGUAGAGCUUCAAGCAUCUAACGUGCCAAUCUGAUAUUUCUUUACAUUUGUCAUAGUGGGAAAAACUAACAUGGUUAUUUGAGAGUGAGUUUAGUCGAAACAAUACGUAAACUCUAGUGUUAGUUGAGUUCAACUAGGUGCUGAGAAAGUAUUGUAUAAAGACCCGUGGUUAUAUCCUUUUCAAGAGCUUUCUUCAGUUGUGGGGAAUAGAUUUUUGGUCUCCUCAUACUUGUUGUCGUAAAUGUCAAUUCAUGGCAUGAGAAUAUUGGGUAUAGAUCAAUUACAUUGGAAAUUAUAUGCUAUUCUUUUGUUUCAUUUGCCUAAUGCUUCAAUCUUUCUUUUUGGCAACCAGCAAAGAUAGGUUUGUAAUUUGUCCUCGAGGAAUAAUUGUUUCUGUUUUUACUAUGCUGGUUUGUUCUUCUACACCUCAUAAACACAUGGCAGUAUCGUGUCUCAUUUAUUAGUUUUCCUGUAGAAAAGUUGAUUAGAGAAUCAUGUGUUACCUUUGUGAUCUUUUUUUGAUUCUGAUCUAAUUAGUUGUAUUAGGUUGCACAUGCUGCAUGCGCAACUUUAGUUUGUCUGCCACGUAUAAGUUUUGAAAACCUUUGAACUCUAUCAUGGCUUGAUUAUUCAAUGUUCUGUUGGAAACCUUCUAGAUUAGAGACCACAAUUAAUCUUCCAGUCUUUAUAUAACUGGUAUAUACGCCGCAAGGACUAUUUGCUGCUGCUGAUUAGUUAAAGAUCAAGUUGAAGCCAAAAUAAAAAAGAAAAUAACGAGGAUAUUGCUGUAUUCACAUUAGUGUCUUCCUAAACCUAAAAUGGUAGGAAGCUUCACGCAUAUCUGACAUAGGACUCCUGAUCAACGUCUGCUAAACAUCUAGAGCUUCCCAUGUAUAUUUUCUUUAUCACCUACUUCAUGCACAUAUAAAACGAGACUUUUCAGGACCAUCAACAAAUUAUCAGAAAAAUUUCUCCAGUGUGACCUGAAAAUCUUAUAUUGCAUUCGCAUUUCCGUCGCUCCUGGUCCUUGCUAAAAUUUGUCCACUUUAUCCUACGUCCCAUUGCUCUUACUAUCUAAUCGAAAGCAUUUCAUGCACAUCCUUUUCCCGUUCUUAUUCUUCAUGUUGACGUAUGUUGCAGCUGACAUAUCUGAUAGGUUUUCACAAUCAUGGAGUUUAGUGGCCAUAAGAAGUGUGUGUAACUGUGGCCACUUAUUCUGUCUGUGUUCAAGUGAGUGAAGAAAGAUCCGCACACACAUUCACACCACCAGUUUGUGUAUGUCCCUGUGUCGGUGUUUGUUCUUGUAACGCAUGGAAUCAAUGUUUAAGGAAUAAAUUAACAUGCAUGUGUAUGCAUGCUGGUGUGCAUGUAUAUUUUUGUUGUCUGUGCAUGCCUUUUUCUUUCUGUGGAUGUGCUUGGGUCCUAGGAUUUUGAAGAGAGAGGCAUAUUAAAAAUAAGAUUGUGUAUGUGGGAGAAAGGUUUGGACCUUACUUGCAAUAUUGGCGUAAGGAGCAAGUUUAUGCAACUACUGAAAGUAAAUCGAAAAAAAAAUGGAUGAUGCUAUGGUGAAACAUCUCCAGCAAGACCUUACUGAGAUGGUUUAAAGGAGUUCUGUCUUUGCGUUCUAUAUUGGUGAAUAAAUCAGCAUAAAGAGGAAUGUAGAGGAAUGUUUGUAUGGUCUAUUUAUAUUAUGGCUUGGAUAUGCUUGGUUGAUUAGCUGACGAAGUGCUCUAUUCUGGUAUUUGAGAAUCUGCAACACUUGAUUUAGAAAGAACGACACUUUUAUUAUUGGUAUGAGUGGUCAUAGUAUUAGUUAGAUUUACUUCUUUCUGAUAUAUUUGCUGGAACUAAAAGAAACUAAAUAACAGAAGGCUUAUCCUUGAAUUGCGUCAACAGGUUAGACUUCCGGUAGGUCAAUUUAGCUCGAACAAGUGCAGACCCAUUUUGCCUAAUGGGUCGGCCCAACUUGCAAACUUUUGGUAGGGAAGCAGAAAAGAAGAUGCGAAGAGGAAGAGUGUGACAGAAGUGUUGAGGUGGAGGAUAAAGAAAAUGGGGGAAAGAUUGCAAGAGUUUAGGUGCAUGACAAUGUUCCUGAUGAAAGGUCACUGCAAAAGUCAAAGAGGAAGACAGGAGGGGUUGGUGAUUUUGAGAUUUGGGUGGGAAGCAGAAGGGUCAUGGUGAGAAGAGGUAAAGGGGGACUAUGGGUGUAAGGGGAGGGAGGUUAUGAUCUGAUCUGACUUGCAUCUGGUUGACUAAUCUCCUCUUAAACCCAAACGGUAUAAUCAUCAGGUCUAGUUAAACUAGUUUGUUUAGUUCUGGACUUUAGGUUGGCUUUGCCUGUUUGGGGUUUUGUAUUACCACCAUUUAUAGGAACUAAAUAGGAGUCUUCAAAGAAGUUUUGUUGCGGUACCAAGAUGAAGUGAUGUCAGUAUCAGCAUGUUACUACAGCAGUUGUAGACAAAAUUGUGCACACCACUUACUCUGGCUUAACACUAAUAAUAAUAAUAUAUACAAUAUAAAGCAAUAUAAUCUUAGGAGAUACUAUCAUUUUCCCUAGGAUUGAUAAGAGGCUUGUUGAGACUGCCCUUGAACUGGAUCAAGGACACUAAGAUUCUACAAACUAUGAAAUUUAACUUCAAUUGUUUUACCAACAAGAAUUACUUACAACUGGAAAUAACUGGUGAAUAGAAGGAAAAUUGGGAAAAUUCGAGAGAAGUUAAUGUGCUAAUCAAUAGCAUUUUGUAUAAUUUGAAUGUUCGUGUUUCUCAUUGAGCCCAUUUAAUUCGAACCUUAAAUUAAAUUUGGAAAUUUAACAAAAAGUGCAUAUUUAGACCAAGGUCUGUCCUCUAGGGUUUGUAUUGUGGAUGACCCGUAUUUUAGCAUAACUUGACCUAUUUGUUGCUCCAAGUUAGAUAGUCUAAAUCGGGUAAAUACUAAUAAUGGCCGCAAUAGUUUACUUGAAUCAUAAAUUGACUGUUGGGCUAGAUGUAUUCAUCAGAAUAUAAUGAUCUGCAUUUGAAAUUAUCAUUAAAUAUGAGCAGCAACAUUGUUUACUUUUGUGCCAUUGAGAUGGGUAAAAGACUAACAAAGUAUCUACCAUUCCUCUCUCUCUUAAAAAAAAAAAAAAAAAAAUCAAAUUUGAGGUCCAUUUAUGAAGUUAUCUGAAUUUGCACAAUGAUUUAAAUACCGAUGAUGGCAUUUAUAUUUGCUACCUAAUUUAUUGUUUAAAUAUUGCUUGUUCUUCAGAUUACAUGUAGCUUGCCGUGGAACAAGUAUUGCUGUUAGGUGGCGGGCCUUCAUAACUUAAACGUGUUGCGAAUAUUCGCUGUCAUCUUCGAACCGCGAUUUGGUGGAUGGUGGUCGUUUCUUGGUAGAUCCUCCUCAUAUUGUAAUUCUGAAGGAACUUUGGAUAUAUGUAGUAAUAGCAGUAGCUGAUGCCCUAACAAUGGCUUUUUGUUAUUUACGUCUGGUAGAUAACUGCGGCUAGAAACUUUCUAGGCCCUUUGUUGCUUGUUUAUGUUAGAAAACAGACGUACAUUAUUUAGUUCAUCUUUUUCCUUUUCUUUUGCUGCUGCACCACAUUUCGCCUCCAUUUAAUGUGAUUACUCAAGUUCCUCAAAAUUUGCCUUGCACUGAUCAUCAUAGAAAUUUUUAUUAGAUGUCCUGAAUGUAGAGUCCUUUCGACAAAAGGGAGCUACAAGGCCUUAGUAGUAGUGUAAUAUUGUGGCUAAAAGCACCGUUUUUAUAUUUUGGGUGACCCAAAUGUUUCCGAAAUUGUUUUCAAUCUUUUGUUUCUCCAAUGCUAUAAAGUUACGGUAGAAAUCUUCAUUGGAGGAGAGAAAAUUGAACAUAUUCUCAAAAUUUUUGGGCCAUCGAAAGCAUAGAACUAAUGCUUUUAGCCACCACGUUGUCAAACUAUGCCUAGCAGGUGUUCUCUGGUGAUCUGUUGCUGCCAAGGAAGUCCUACUGGUAGCUGUUGUAGAAGUGUUGUUUAGAUAAGAGCUGCUUGGAGAAGCACAAACAGCUUGGCAUUUUAAUAUUUCCCGCCGUCAACUGCUUGCGGCAGCAGCAGUCGAAAUUUCAAAUGCAUGUUAGCAUCUUGGUAAAAAGCUGGGAUAUAUGGAUGGAGUCCCUCUUCAAGUGAGUCAUCUUUGCUUUGCCUGGUUCGGUGAAAGCCGCGGUGCUAUGAAAAAUCACAGAUUGUUUUAGCUUCUGUUGCUUGUUUUUGAUGGAGCUGCUGCUGGUGCUCUGAAGAAAUAUGAAGUACAUCAAUUGUUUUUUUGUUUUGAAGGAGAGUAAUUAUUAUUUAUUAGUUUUUAGUGAAGCUAUAGAGGAAGAUGGACCAAAGAAGAAGUUACUUGCGAAGAUUGCGAGGGAUAUUCGACGCUGCAGUUACAAUACUUUUUAUUAUUACUUUCAUCAGCAACUAUAAGAUAAUAGUUUUCUCGGCUUAGGGUGGGAUGGUACUAUUUCGUACAUUUAUAUGGUCCAGCUAUUAUAUUUUUAUUAGUACAUUUAUCAUUUUCGAUGAUAGAACUUUCGUAUCGAUAAUUUAUACGACUAAAUAUAAUUUGAAGCAUUUAAACAUUCUCAAAUACCUAAUUUAGUAAUAUUUAGACUUCGAUGUACCUUAUUAUCAAAUGACUCUGUAUAUAAAUCAUAAUUGGUUGAAUUUUUAAUAAAAAUUUUUAUUUACUAUUUAGAUCAAAAUUAAUAACUCGGAUUUAAAAUUUUUUUUAAAAAUUAAUUCUUUACUUUUAAGAGCUCGUUUGAUUUUGACCUUUUAUUUUAUACUCGCCCAAUGAAUUUUAUUAUGAAUGCGAAAAAUUAUAAAAUUUAAUUUCUACAUAAUUCAAAUACUUCGUAUCAUGUUAUUGCCACGGAUCAUCGAGUCUCUAUGAUCUAAAAUAAUUUAUAAAAAUAUAAAGGCUUUCAAAUGUAAAGACUUUCGUACUUUUUUUUUGAAAAGAAGUAGGAAGCUAUCAAUUUCAUUUCAUUAGACAAAAUGAGCUAAGCAUACAAGAUAAAAGUUGUUGAGGCUUCUGAAGAAAAGAGAGACAUAAGUAAGAAAAAAUAAGAAGUGAAAGAAAAGGAAAUACAGAUAAUAAAAGAAGUUUUGGCUGAGAUAGGGGUCAAGCGGUUGGCGAUCAGUGGAUCUCAUUCCAAGAGGCCAGCAAGAGUUUGACAUGCUCAAUCGAUCAGGUAGGUUUGGGGAGUUUCGCUCAGAAGAUAAUGUUAUACCUCUCUGUCCAGACGACUCACCAGAUUGCCAACAAAAGGGUUAAACGUUUUGUUCUCUUCACAGUAUCAUUAGGCUAGUUGUCCUUAACUAGAGUACACGAACGUCGUCCGAGACGUCAGCGAGAAUCUCCGAACCAUCCACACAUAGAAAAAGGUAUCAAACAAACAUGCAGUUAUACAAGAGAUGAUCGCAGCUUUCCGCAAUAAAAGCACAGAAAGCGCAAUGUUGCUCCACCUACCGACCUCGUAUAAGCAGUCUAUUGGCCGUAAGAAUUCUUUUACGUAAAAGCAUCCAAAUGAAUACUUUAAUUUUAGCGGGGAUUUUUAGUCGCCAGAUAAAAGGGCUCAUCAAGUCUCUCUGUUUAGCGUCAGUGAGAAACAUAUAAAUGGAUUUGACGAUAAACAAUUGAUUUGAGGUCCAGCGCCAGUUGACCGAAUCUGGCUUACUGUUAGGGCGGAAGGGUUGAAGUAGGUCCCUAAAUGACGUCAACUGUCUGCGAUUUUUUGCUGAAUGGGACGCUGCAAAACCACGGCAGAUGAAGCGCCAUCUCUAGCCGUUUGGAUUCUAGCAUUGAGACACUUUAACCUUCUUAUUCCUUAUCCGGUGCAAUACCUACUGAGGCGCUUUGAAGACGGAGAGAUAGAACAACAGCAGAUCGGGGAUUGAGGCGCUUUGAAGAUGGAGAGGUAGAAUAGCGGCAGAUUCGUGAAGACAGAGUUGACAAGGAUGAGCCUAUCCCUUUGGGAGAGUAGGGUGUAAAAAAUAGUGUUAUAGCUCUACUCUUUAAGUAGACAAAUGGCCCAUCCGUGCUUGGAAUUACCAGGUGGAGUUUGUGCCAGGAGCGUGUUUGAAAUUUAAUAAAAUGGAGAAUCACAAAAUCGCCAGUUUAUUAAUGAAGCCAGAGUUCACUUUGAACUCAGUGACUCGAUACCGAUAUCAGAGAAAGUCAACCGUGGAAGUGAGCCCAACUUCAACACGAACAAACACCCAGCCCCACAUAGGCUGGCUGGAAACCAGGUCUGGAAAUGCAUUUGAAGCCAAAAGAAAAAAAAUUUAAAAAACAAAAACAAAAACAAAACCCACAGUACGAACGAGCUUCGCGCACCCUCCUUUUUUUUUUUUUUUUUUUUUUUUUUUUCUUAGGAGGGAGAUGUUGAUCAAGAGAAAAUCNUUUUUUUUUUUUUUUUUUUGUUUUUCUUUUCUACGCUGAAACACACGAGGGUACACGAAUAAAUGUUUUUCUAUGCUUAAAUACAACAACAUAGCACCUGAGAUACGAAAUUCUACGGUAAAAGAAACCACUAAACCAAUAUGAAAAGAAUCUUACUUAUUUGCUUGGCUCGGGUCAUAUUCACCCCCCCAAAAAAAACAGAAUAAAAGAAAAAGAAGAAAAAGAGCACAGGAUGAAGGUCAAAGAGACUUGGGGCCAUCACAAGUAAGUGAUUGGUGCAAAAUCAAGCAAUUCCUGUCAUGAGCUGCUGCUGGUGCUCUACCUUUCUCUCUAUAUUUGCUCCCAGAGAAAGAAGCUUGGCUUCGAAAUUUUCAUAGCCUCUAUCGAUAUGAGACACGCCGCUGAUCUCGGUCACCCCUUCCACCGCCAUUCCUGCUAGAACGAGGGCCGCCCCGCCUCUCAAAUCGGCGGCCUCAACUGGGCAGCCAGAAAGCGCAGCGCUGGGCCAGGAAUGAAAGUAUUGAGAGAGCAAACAAAUCUAUUUACACUUUGUUACACACACACACACACACACACACACACACACAUAUAUAUAUAUAUAUAUAUAUAAGAAAACGAGUGGAAUUGAUCUAGACUUCAGGUUAUUUGCAAAACGACUGUCCAACCUUGGAACCUGUUCAUUUACUUUUCUAACAUUUUAAUUUCUUUGAUUUUAGUCUUGAAAAUGUCGCCGAUGUUGCACGCACACCAACUCCGCAUACUGUGCUGUCCAUGAUGCAUCUCAUGUGUUUCUUCCAACCAUCUAUAUAUCAUGAACACUUCUGUAAGACUCGUGUGUCCGAUAUGGACAUGCGCAAACGUCCGUGUCAAACUCGUGUCCGACGCGGACACACCAUGGACGCACGUUCGAUGCGGGUUCAUAGAGCAUCUCAUUGAAAAAAUAUAUGUAGUCUUUUUAUUUUACUUUCUUUUAUGUAUAUAUAAUAUAAGAUAAUGAAGAUUUUAGCUUUUUGAUGAAUGCAUAUUAUUAACUAAUUUCGUGGUGGAGAUUGAAUCAUCAAAGAUGGAACGAUGGAGUCGCAGUGCAUAAAUGAAUGGAUGGACUGGCUGCAUGCAAUAGUUUCUCAGUACCGUCAUAUGACUCAACUCAGGUGACUUGCUGUUAAGACUAAAAUUUUCAAAAAGUUGGGCAGUCGUUUCAAAAUGAUCUAAAGUUCAAGAAAGUCAUGACCUGGGAGAUGCUGGGAGAAAGAAUUACCUUCUGUGCCUUUUUCCUUGGAUAAAUGCCGAACUUCCGGAGAGUCUGAUUCUGGCGCCGAGUUUCUGAAGCUCUUUCACUACCACCAGCAGAAGAAAAAUAAUCAAGGUUGAUCAGAUUUAACUUGACAUUAAAUCUAUGCUGUGCGCGUAGUAUUGAGUAUCACAUCAUGCAUAUCGGAUUUGGAUACGAAUGAAUUAGUUUUAUGUUACUUUUUUAGGAUAAAUUGCACCAUUAGUUGUUGAACAUAUCACGAGAUCUUACUUAGGUCACCAAAUUUUUAUAUGUUGAAAUUGAUGCACAGAAAUUGUGGUUAGAAAGAGAUGACUUGGCAGUUGAUUUAGUUGCCACCUGCCUUGUCAUCCCUAGAUUGACAUGGCCGCCAUUGGCAGUUGUCUUCGAGAGUACGUUACAGCUGAGUUACUUACCACAUCAUCUCUCCAAUAGGAAAAUUGAACAGCAUUUAACUUUGGACCGCAUAAAACGAUGUUCAGUACAAUACUUGCAACAAUUUAAAAUUUGGUGCACUAAGGGGGUGUUUGGUUUUCCAGAAAAUAUCCAAGAAAAUAAUUUUUAACUGGAAAAGUAUUUUCUGUCUGUUUGGUUCCUAGGAAGAGUAGUUUUCUUGGAAAAUUUUUUUUCCAUAUUUCAUAUUAAAGUAUUGUUUUCGUUUUCCAAAUUUUCUAUCUGGAAAACGAGAAGUGUGGAAAAGGAUGUUUUCCAUGGAAAACUUUUUUACCAGAGAAAUAGUUUUCAAGCUUUUCCAACUAACCAAACACACCCUAAAGUGAAAUUUCGCAGCAAGUUCAACGACAAGUAGUGUAAUUUAACUGCUAUUUUCUGGCUAGGAAAUUGAGAUCAUGAACCCAAAAUGGGCAUAUAGCUAGAUAAAAGCAGUUGAAAAUGUACCAACUUGAAACAGAAGAAACAACCUUAGAAAACAACCGAAUUGUUUUACCACAUACCGUGAUGCAUACGAUUCUCAAAGACAGAUUCUUCCACGACACUUAACCCACUACACGUUGUUAGUAACGCCAUGAACUGAGGCUGGAGAUCGGUAGGGAACCCAGGAUACGGAAGCGUUUUCAGAUAAAACCCUUGAAGGUCUCCAUUAUUUGGCGAACUCAGAGCAGAUACCUGUAAAGCCCACACAGUCUCUCAGAGUCCUGAUUUUUAAUACCAGGAAGAUGAGUUUACUACCUAAAAGAACUCCUACCUCAAGAAUAUGACGUCCCUUCUGAAUAAUCUUGCAACCAGCAGCAGAAAGCUUGUCCAUAAUACUAGUUAAAUGACCAGGGAUCACAGGAGACAAUGAAAUACAAGAGCGUGUAAUUGCUGCAGCUACCAUUAAUGUACCAGCUUCUAUCCUAUCAGGGAUUAUAGUGAAUUCAGCGCCAUGUAAACGCUUUUUACCAUUAAUAACAAGUGUGCUUGUCCCAGCCCCUUCAAUUUGUGCGCCACAGGUAACAAGAAACUUAGCAAGGUCAGCAACUUCAGGCUCCUGUAGGUCAGUUAGCCACAUUAAUUUGCAGUUGAAUAUAUAUAUAUCCUGAUAUCAAUGCAGCACCAAAGAAAAGAAAGUAAAGUUUCAUUGUUCAGAAUCUCACUCGAGCUACGUUAGAGAGUAUAGUCACUCCAUCAGCCAAAGAAGCUGCCGUCAUUAGAGUUUCGGUUGCUCCGACGCUAGGAUAAUCAAGAUGAAAUUGACCUCCGACAAGUCCUUUCCCAUUCGCUGCCUCGACACGAACUUUCCCAUGCCUACAAAGUGCGGCUACAUAUUCAGUGGCUGACGCUCCAGAUGUUAAUUAGUAUGUUAGAAUUCUUAUAGAAAAAUGCGGGAUUAUUUUGCGUUCCACAUUACUACAUAAACAUAUAUUGCGUCGCUAUUUCAUCCAGGCCAGGCUCAAGUCCAGCAAACAUUGACUCAUCUCGACCUCACCCAAAACAACAAGCCAAAAUCAUACAAUCAAAGUUGUCUUUUAAUUGGGUUGGCCGACAAGCACGAUAGAUAGUCUGACCGAUUUGCAUCCCCGCCGCAGUAGGGUCUAUGCAGCUAGAGUGGUUAAUUUGACCAAUUACCCAGUCCCGGUUAAAUCCGGAGUCAAUCCCAACCUGAACCUGAUUAAUACCUGAGGUACUACUGAUCAGCAGGGUCUGGUCACAAGAAAGGGCCUGUUAAAAUUCGGGUCCGGUUGUGGGUUUAGUAGAUGUAGGGCUUCAACCAAGACAUGGUUUCUAUCUUCAAUUAAAUAUAUAUUUGGUUAUAUAAUAUUAAGGAGAGCUGGAUUAAUAAUUGGAGGCUACAAACUUACAAUAGCAUCUUUAUUAACUUAUAAUUGCUUGCAUGAAUGAUACCUCCUUUUUUGUCAAUUUUUCAUAAUAGUUUGUUUAUUUGUUUCUCAUUAUUCUUCAAUACUACUCGUUUUACUUUGAUAUGAAGAUAGGUAGGCCAAAAGUAUAGAAACCACAUGUCCAAAUGAUUAUGUCGUAGGUCCGAAACAUCGUUUUCUCGACACUUUUCUUAAUCAACUGUCGAUUUCGUCCAAUAAUAGAAGAAUCUACCAACAGCAAUAAAUUACAAAGAACUCACAUCAUCCACACAAACAAGUAGUACAUGACAAACUAUAAAUACUACAACGUUUUAUGCAUCUCCUCGCAAGCAAAUAAACAAAGGGUUUGAGCUUCUUCAACAGUUACCUCAAUUGGACGACGGCGCCGAGCGCGGCGAGGCCGCGGAGGUAAAGAUCGAUCGGCCGCGCCCCGAUCCUGCACCCGCCCGGGAGCGCCACCUCCGCCUCGCCGAAGCGCGCCACGAGCGGUCCCAGCACGAAGAACCCGGCGCGGAUCCUCCCAAUCGCUUCCGAAUCGGGCUCCACCGAGGUCACGGCGCCCGCGUCGACGACGACCUCCCCGCCGCCGUGCUCCUCCACGCGCGCCCCGAGGGAGCGGAGCACCGCGGCCAUGGUGCGGGUGUCGGAGAGGUCGGGGACCCCGCGGAGCGCGAAGGCGCCGGAGGAGCAGCAGAGGGCGCCGGCGAGGACGGCGAGGGCGGCGUUCUUGGAGCCGCUGACGCCGACGUGGCCGGCGAGGCGGCCGCCGCCGGAGACGACGAGGCGGUGGUCUGCGUCGGCGUUAGCGGCGGCGUCGGCGGAGGCUGCGGAGAUGGGCCGCGGAGGGAGGCGGCGGAGGCGGAGGGGGGAGGGGGACGGGGAGGGGGAGGGGGAGGGGAAGGGGAGGGAGGAGGAGGAGAGGAGGGCCAUGGGAGGGUUGAGGUGGGACUCAUUGUUAGGGUUAGGGUUUUUGGAGUGGUGUGCGCUCCACGUUUUCACCGUGCUCUCUCUCUCUCUCGCUUCUCUUUCUUCUCUCACCUCGGUGCUCUGCUUCAGUCACGGCGCCGAGCUCCGUCUCGGGAGUCGAGCAGUGUGGCCGUAGGAAGAAGUAAUUAUUUCGUGCACCGCAUGUAUUUAAAAAAACAUUGAAUGCAUAUUGGUCCCGCAAAUAUUUAACACUGUAUAAUUUGGCACUUUCUCCGAUCCACGUAGCAUCCUUAAUUUUGGUUCAUUCCAGUGGCGAUGUUAUCUCUUAUCAGAGCUCUCUCUUUUCCCAUCUCCCACCUGAGCCUCUCUCCCUUCAUCUCCCCUGCCAGCUGGCCCUCUCUCUCUUCACACCCUCUCUCUCUCUCUCUCUUCCCCCUCUCCAGCUGGCCCCUUCUUUCUUCCCCUCUCCUACCUUUCUUCUCCCCCCCCCCCCCCCCCCCCCUUCUCUCACCUUCCCUGCAAGCUGGCCCUCUCUCUCUCUCCACCAACCGCACGUCUUCCCUAUCCACUUUGUCUCUCUCUCUUCCCCACUGUCCAGAUGCCCCCCUCUCUCUACCCCUCUCUUAACCGGGUCUCUCAUUCUCUUCCCCUCUCCUCCAAGUGGCUAUGUCACGCCCCGGGGUCCCUUUUAAGUUUGGAAAAACAGCGAAAACGACUAUUUUUUUUUUUUUUUUGAAGCACCUGACCCCAGAGUAUGUCAGAUCCGCCACAAAUACAGGAAAUCCACUGUUCACACGGACAGAGUCUCCCCUAUAUUUGCACGGCGUCGCACAAGUACAAAAGUACAAGCAGUAUACAACCACAACUAAAUGUAUAUACAGAUAGCUAUACGUUCAUACAUUUACCAUUCACACCGUAGUUUUACAUUCGAUGUUUAAACAAAAGUCCACGAAAAAUCUUUUAAAAACUGUUCCAUACGCGAAAACUUUUAUCUUUUAUAAAAGCUACCACGAGGGGUAGAAAACCUUUUAUUUUACCAAAUCCAGAAAUUCUUUUAUUACAUUCAUGAAAGUCCACAUAUUCCAAUGUAAUAAAAAUACUGAACCAUAUAAACUGACUAAGCUAUAACAACAGAAUAGUAGGGAUAAAACUAAACCGAUAAUCUGGGUCGGAAGCUCUAUCGACCGCUACGAACGUACCUCACGGCUCGUCCCAAAACUCAACGUCUGCAAUAUCUGAAAAAUAGUGGGGGAGGUGAGAACAUGUAAACAUGUCUCCCCUCCCAGUGGGUACCGCAAGCCGAAGAAGGCGAGGAGUACUCACCGGAUCAGGAAGAGAUAAACAACAGUAUGGGUAAGUAAAAUACAGUAGCAACGAUAAUGAACGAAUGAGAUAUAUAUAUGAAAGCACAACUACUGCUACUGUAAUGUACAACUGCAAGCAUACAAGGAUAUCAAAACAAUAGUAGCAAGACAACUAUAAAGAAAGAACUAGAAAUAUAUAUGCAACAACCGCUACUAUAGCUAUAUGCGUCAACCGGACGAGAAGUCCAAAAGUACCCAAUCUAAACCGCCGUGUCGGUCUAAGGACCUCAGGCAAAAGCCACUACCUGCUCACACCUGGCAUGUAACCCUAGCACAAAGAGAACACCGCUGGGCUCACGGGUCGGAUUUACGACCAUUUUUCCGGAAAAGAACACCCUCCUGCGGGGGAUCAACCCGCUGGUGUACGUGAAAUGCACUCGAGCUGCGGCGAUCAAUGCGGAUAUGAUCAAUAGCCAAAUGUCGGCAACCAGCCGACAAUCACCGCCCCUCGGGGCAAACCGACCAAUAGGUCAUCAAACUAUAAAGAAGCACAAGAACCGACCACUCAAGUCAACUAGGAUGGAACGACUCUACAUCCUCUCAACUGUAUGUAAGUAUUGACUAAUCAAGUCAACUGGGAUGGAACAACUCAACAUCCUACCAAAAAUAUGUAGAUACUGAUCAAUUGGUCAACUACUGUAUAUAUGCAAGAAUCGAUCAACAAGUCAUCUGAGUAUAUAAUCUAGAACUACCGUCGGCCAUGGCCGACAAUCCUACCCCUCAGGGUACACCGACCUCAAAGGUCAUCAAACGACAGAAGUCAAGAAACAGACCAACCCAAUACAUAAUGCAACAACCGACCAACCAGGUCAACAGAUAUAAGAUAAAAGCACCGAUCAACUAGAUCACCGAAACGAAGUACGAGAACCGACCAAUCAGGUCACCGAAACGAAGUACGAGAACCGACCAAUUAGGUCACCGAAACAAAGUACGAGAAUCGACCAAUCAGGUCACCGAAACAAAGUACGAGAACCGACCAAUCAGGUCACCGAAACAAAGUACGAGAACCGACCAAUCAGGUCACCGGUAUCACAUAUGGAUAAACUACUCUACUCCUACACAUGAUACUAAGCAUAGAAACAUAUGAGUAGAGUAUAAUAGAAACAACGGGGAUGCAAGCUCAAUAUAUAAUACGAAAAUAGCAACAGAAGAACAGGGAUAGAAGAAAUAUCACCGAGCGUGCACCACUGUACCGACGUCGGAUCGAAGUACCCACCUGUAUAAAGCUGAAACGGUCUCGCGAAGGCGGAGACGAAGCGACCGGACCUACGAAGGGUCCACCGGGUUAGAGUCUAACCCACAAACACAAUAACACGACCAUUCUCACACAAAUCCCAAAAUCAUAACCCCUCGGAAAUCGGUUUCUCAAACGCAACUACCGAACCAGCCGGAAAUCCCGGAAACCGUACCGAAACUCCACCGUCGCUCACCCGUCGUUUCCGAACCCUCGAGAAGACGCGGGUGACCAGCCAACAAGGCUCAGCGACGCUACAAUCAACCACGAGGCACCGUCGGAUGAAUUCCGAGUCGAACGCGCGUUCUAUCGGCGGAUUUCACCGAAAACGCUCCGGAAAUGACAGAUAGAUUUCCGCAAGGGCUUGGGGCCUUGGACGAUCAGUCCAGAGGUUAUCUUAAGCCUUAACCUGCUGCCAACAGCAGCCACAACGAAGCGAAACGCAAAAGGAUCCCUAAUGGCCCAUGAAAUCACAUUAUUUUAUGUGAUUUCAUGGCUCUAACGGGUCGUACCAGCAAACCAGGGAUCUACGGAGGUUGCCAUCGCACUUGCUGCAAGGUUUCAGCAUGCCUGAGGCCGUGCUCACCUUUCGGAGCACUGCCGGCAGCAACCACGCGCGCACGAGCGACGCGAACCUCAGCGAAUCAGUGCGCAUACUGUGGAAAACAGCCUUUUCUCACUAACCAGGGCACCGUUAACCUAAAUGGAGGUGAGCAUCGUGUUCAGCACGAGCCCACGAUCACCGUGCUCACCUCCCGAGGUGCCAGGGAGUCAUCGGAUCACCGAAAAAGUGACCGGAACGCAAAACAGCAGUGCUGGAACCAAAGUAAACUACUCACCGGAGCUGUGGGAGCUAGGGAUGGCCGCCGGCGAUCGGGCGGCGGGCGCUCCGGCCGGUGAUGGGAGCAGCAGGUCGGGGAGGUCCGGGGGAGGUGCUGGCCGGCGGCGGGCAGCAGCCGGUGGCGCGGCGGCGGAGAUCGGGCCCGCACACUUCCUCUCGGGCUGGAGCUUGCCGGCGGCGAGGCGGCGACCGGGGGAGGUCGGGGCGGCGAUGAUCCGGUGCCUGAGACCAAGGGGGAGGUGGUGCUCACCUCAGAGGGCAACGGCAGCGCUCGGGAGUGGCGCGGCUCCAAGGUCGGCCCGCACAGGACCCGAGCGGCGGCGGGAGACCUUGGCGGCGGCCGGCGGGGCGCGGGGACGGCCGGGGACGCGCGCGCCGGGUUGCUGGAGGUCGCCGGGGUCGACAGGGGGGCUUGGCCGCAGGGGAAGUGCGGUCCCAAGGCCCGCAACCUGAGCUCGGCCUGGCUCGGGUCUGGGCAGACCCGGUUGGCUGCAGCCUCUUCCGGCGGCUCCGGCGACGCUCGGGGGUGGCCGGGGCCGGCGGGGGAGGGCGCCUGAGGAAGGUCUCGACCAGGGGAAGGUGGUGCUCGGGCUAACAGGCCUCUCCAAGCACCAAGCUUAAACCGGUGGUGAGGUGGUCCAAGAGAGGAGGAAUAUUGGCUGCAGGCUGUUUCCGGCGGCCGGGGCUGCUCGGCGGCGGCCGGAACGCGAGCACGGGCAGGGCAGGGAGGUGCUGGGAUGGCAGGGGCGGCUGGGGUUAGCUGGGGGGUUCUAGGGUUAGGGUUAGCUCAAGAAACCCUAGGACAACCUAUAUAUAGGUGCGGAAAACUCGCGGAAAACCCCCUCGAAAGGAAUCUAAUUAAUCCCAGCUCUCAACCAGCAGUCGCAUAACGCACGAUAGUCCCUCUAAGUUCGAAAACUCGCAAUUCGACGCAUAAAAUAUAGGGCCUUUUCGCGAAUAAUCCGAUUACUCAAAUCAGCCCCUUCGCGGACUUUUCGCGAUUCCCGAAGAUCCGUCCGUCGGAUUUCCGAUCGGAUCGUACCAGCGCGAUCAGUACGACAGAGGCAUCGAAUCUAGCAUUUCGUUUCGCCCGAAAAGGUUCCCGAUUUGCGACAAAACCAUCCCUCAUAGGUUCCACCAAAAACCACAUAUAGACAACUAUAUGUAAAAACCAUUAAACCCUUUUUCUCGAAAUCCGUGCAUCCAAAUCCAAUUCCGUCAGUGCCAUUGGGUCCAGGAUAGUCGAGCGGUUGAAAACGAGCUAUUGGAAGGCUAUAUUCGGAGUCCGAUACGCGUCGAAAGUCCACUCUACUCCGCGGCCUCUCUGGAAAACCGGAGUUACUAUUCACUUAAGUCAAACUUCCGGGUCGCGUAACUUCUCCGUUUUAACUCGUUUUCUCCUGAAAUUCGACGAGUACACUUAUAAUUAUAUUACACACAAGAACAUCGUCAAACAAAAGGGUUUAAUCAAUAAAUCAAAAAUCUCAGUUAUUACAGGCUAUCUCUCUCUCUUUUCCCUGUCACACCCCAAUAAUCCCACAUCGGAUAGGAAUGAAAAUAUGAUUGGAUAUAUAAGUGACUUAGACAUUAGUAAUAAUAACUGGGCUUAAGCAUUUUGGGUCGGUGGUUGGGCCGAACUAGUUAUUGUUGCUAGUGGGCUGGAUCGUUACAUUUGGUAUCAGAGCCAAUCACCAGCCGGAAUUGUGCGGCGAGUCUCAGCUGAGGGCAUAGUCCGUACGACAAGGAAUCAUCAGCCAGAAUUGUGCGGCGAGUCUCGGUUGAGGGCAUAGUUUGUACGACAAGGUGAUCGACUAUGCCAGGGUCUGGAUCGCCUGGUGAUCUUUGCCUGUGUGUGGGGGAUUAUUGCGGUCUGUCACACCCCAAUAAUCCCACAUAUGAUAGGAAUAGGGAUGUGAUUGGGUAUAUAAGAGACUUAGAUACUAAUAAUAAUAACUGAGCUUAAGCAUUUUGGGCCGGUGGUUGGAGUUAUUGUUGCUAGUGGACUGGGAUGAACCGUGCACGGCACUCGUGCUCACCCUAUGAUGAGCUGUGUCCUACGUUCGUAGGCCAGGAUAGGUUGCAAGUGGGGCGCAUCCUUUCCCUCUCUCUCUGCUAACCCUAGGGAGUGGUGGCGGCGGCGGCGAGGAUAGCGCGACAAUGUCGACUCCCCCUUCAAACCCCCGAGCUUCGCCGUAUAUUUCCACUAAUAAUUCUCUCCACCCCUUUUUCAAUUUUUCAAAUUUGAAUUUGAAUUUUUCCUUUUGGUCUUGUUAGUAGCCAAAUUUUUCGACCCUUGACCCGGUCAAAGAUCCUUCUCAGGAAGUGCGUCGGGAUGAGGAAUGGCUACGGAUAGUGACUCUCGAAGUUUGCGCCCUUCGACAGAUCAAGCGAUUCUGCUGACGAGGGAUCGAGCCAGCCGGGUUCGAAAACUACUACUAUCUGUUCGGUUCGGCUGAAACGAAGCCGGAAGAAGAGUCGAAUGGCUAAAGCAACACGAGAUUGGGUCGGCUUGAAGAGCCGAAAUGACUUUCUAUUGAUUGAUUACUGAGAAGUAUAAGGACGGAUAUAUAGUUUACAACGAUUCGGCUAAUGAGGGAUCGAAUCAGCCGGAUCCAAAAAUCUUCACUAUAAACUGAAAGAGCCGAAUAAAUGAAAUAUACAAUGACUGGUCGGCUGAAAGAGCCGAAUGCCUAAAUAUAUAUAUAUAUUAAUAAAACAGAGUGUGCCCGAAGGGCAUACAGACUCUGCAAAUAUGUAGUUUACAACGGAGCGAUGCCCAUGGGGUAGACAAAUUCUAGGGUUCUACUUAAAAACUAUUCCUAGGAAAGCAGUAAAUGCGAAAAAGAAAAGAUUACAUUUAAACUACUCCUAGAAAAGCGAUAAAAUUGCGAGGAAAUAAGGGUGGUUUUUUGUUCACAGGGGAAAAGACCCCUAUUGCAGGCUUCGAAAUUACUAUUUAUAGUAAUAUCAACCCACAUUAUUGAUUGGUUGAAAGUAGUGGGGGGAGUGGUUAUAACCAUGAUCGUGGAAGUUACGCCCACUCAGAAGUUACGCCCCAUCGUGGAAGUUACGCCCCACUUCUCAACCGUACCCGCCUAAAACCUUCAAGCGCCUUAUUGCCGACUCCUGGUGUACCAUGAGUCCUUAUUGGCUCAUACGUAGGUUAGGUCGGCAUGUUAAUUUCAAUUUUGGCAUCAACAGGUCUAACUUACUAUUAGGGAGGUGAGGCAGUGCUCUACAACGGAUACGGUGCUGGAUCGCUUCAGCGUGCGGCGCACCAACAUUUCCACCACCCCAAGGUUUCCCUUUUUUUUUUACUUCGAAAAAAAAAAUCAAAAUUAAAUCAAAGUCCUCCCUUCUAACUUCAAAACAUAAUUUUAAAACAAAAAUCUUGCCCAUUACCUUUUCUCUUUUUUAUUUUAUUAUUUUUUUUUGUGGAACAAUAGGGUGGGGCGAUGGGUGCGCAGAGCUACGGAGGAGCGCCGCCGAGAGGAGCGGCGGCGGCACUGCCGCCGCAGGCCAUCGCCUCGUCGGGCAGCGGCGCUGCGGGGACAAGCCACUGACCCUCACAGCAUCAUAGAACGAGUAAGCUUACUCUUUUUUUUUCCUUCCAUUUUUGUUGCAUUGAAAAAUAAAAUAAAAAAUUAAGAAAAUUUUUAAAAAUAUUUAAAGUAAUUUCUAAUCUAUUUCUUGAAGCUCGAUCUCCCCCCCAAAUGAACCAUAUAGCCAAGAGAAACCAUGAACCAGAAUAGAAGAGCUUGCCCCACCCAUGAGUAAAUAUUUCAUAGUAGCCUCAUUAGACCGUACAUCUCUCUUGGUAUAUCCGGAUAAUAGGUAGGAACAUAAACUGAAACAUUCUGGAGCUACAAAGAUAGUUAUUAAAUCGUUUCGUUUGUUUUCGUGCGAACAGCUUCGCAGGGAGAGAAUCGCGGAGCGAAUGAAGGCCCUUCAAGAAUUAGUCCCUAACGCCAACAAGGUAAUAAAACAAUUUAUUUAUAAAAAAUUAAAAAAUACACUGUAAUUUGGGAGUGUUUUAACUUCCUACUAUUGUACAAAUGAUAGCUGAUGUUGCACAUGUAGUAUGUGAAAGCGCUUGUAAAGUUCAGCGCAGAGUAGUCUACUUCUUCGUUUGGUUCGGAUAUAAGCAAGAACUAGCUAUUACAGGAAUAGAUAUAAGUAUGGGGAUAAACAAAAUAGCAUUUGGAUAAAAAUUGGGUUGUUUCCGGGAAUAAAAAAAAUACCGUUGAAUAGAUAAUAUGGAAUAAGAAAAAUAGUGGGUAGUUAUAUAUAGAAAAUAGAGGUGUUGGUGGGGAUAGUUAUACCAGCUUAUUUUAGGUAUCUGAGAACUACUAUUCUCGGAUAAAAAAUUUGCGUUUGAGAUAAAAGGGGAUAAAGUGUUAUCCUUCCCCUUAUCCCAUAUCCAAAUGCUACCUAAGCCUUUGGAUAAAUCCUUAUAUUCUGAUAUUUAUUUUGUAUUACAUUAAACAUACACACACACACACACACACACACACACCUUUUAACAAUAUACAACUCUCUAGGACUAGCUGAUAAUUUAAAUAAAAUUCAGCCUGCGAAAAAACAACAACUUACGUAAGAUCUAAUAUCAAUGAUUUGUUACCUCAAAUAUUUACUGUUUAUAUAUUAUGGCCAAUUUGCAUAAAAAAUUCACUAAUUUUGGACUUUUGCAAAAGUAGGCCACAUUUUUCGUUUUUGCAGAUUCGGUCCGAAUUUGUGACACCCCAAUAGUCCCAUAUUGGAUGGGAAUGGGGUUGUCAUUGGGUUUAUAAGAGACUUAGACACUAGUAAUAAUAACUGGGCUUAAGCAUUUUGGGCUGUUGGCUGAGCCCAACGAGUUAUUAUUGCUAGUGGGCUGGGUCGUUACAGAAUUUUCAGCAAACUAACCAAAAUACCCUUAUUACUUUUUCUCUCUCCUCUCUCUCUUUUUUUUUUUCUCGUUCAUUUUUUUUUCUCUCGCCGAAGAGGCAACGGAGGUAGAGGCGGAAGCGGAAACGGCCCACCUCGCCUCUCACCCUCAUGCUCUCGCCCUCGCCCUCGCCCUCGCUCGCGCACCCCCCACCUUCCUCGCCUCCGACCCCGCCGAGGCCGCGCCGCAACUAUUUUUUUUUCCUCUCCGACUCUCCUCCACCAUCUACAACGACGAUGCCUCUCUCACCCUUCCCCGCCCUUCUUGUCCUCUCCCUCUCCCUCCUCCUCUGCCGCCUUCGACGACGACGCAUCUUCGCCGACGUCGACACGUGGAGAUCGCUGCAGUGCUGUAGUCUCGGAGCGGGGGGUGCUUAGCAGAACAGUAUAAAUAUCUCUCAAAGAAUGCAAUUUUCGUUUAAAGAGUGUAACUUUCAUCUUAAUGGAUACAGUUUACAUCUGAAAGAAUGCAAUAAGAGGAGAAACAGUGUAAAUAUUUCCCAAAUAGUUUAAUUUUUAUUUAAAGAGUGUAAUUUUUAUCUUAAAGCUGCAGUUUACAUCUUAAGUGGUACAACUUAUGUUCAUAAUAGUGCAACGUUUUUUAAAACAGUACAAUUUUAUUUUUAACGGUGCAAUUUUAUCUUCAUCUUUUUUUUUCUAUAAUUUUUUUAUUUUUUUUUCUCGCUUCUCCUAUAAUUUUUUUUUAUCACCUCUCUCUGUCAACGGCCACAGCGCCGGCGACGCCGCCGCUAAGGACCCCCUGCUCCGAGGUUACAGCGUCGCAGCGACCUCCACGGUGUUGGCGUCAGCGAAGAUGCGUCGUCGUCGGAGGCGGCAGAGGCGGAGGGAGAGGGAGAGGACAAGAAGGGUGGGGAAGGGCGAGAGAGACGUGGUUGUCGGAGACGGUGGAGGAGAGUCGGAGAGGGAAAGAAAAAAAGAGUCGUGGCGCGGCCUCAGUAGGGUCGGAGGUGAGGAAGGUGGGGAGUGCGCGGGCGAGGGCAAAGGCGAGAGCGAGAGCAUGAGGGUGAGAGGCGUGGCGGGCCGUUUCCGCCUCCGCCUUUGCUUCCGCUGCUUUCUUCGACGAGAGAAAAAAAAUGAACAAAAGAAAAGAAGAGGAGAGAGAAAGAGGAGAGAGAAAAAGUAAUAAGGGUAUUUUGGUCAGUUUGCUGAAAAUUCGAACUGAAUCUGCAAAAACGAAAAAAAUGCCCACUUUUGUAAAAGCCCAAAAUUAGUGGAUUUGUUAUGCAAAUUGGCCAUAUAUUAUACAUAGGAUUAGAUUAAACUAAAUUGGUUACUUUUGUUUUCAGGUUCCAUGAAGCUUCCUCUCCAAAUGAAGAUAAGAUGUGAAGGAUUGCAUUUAAUUUUUAAGUUAUAUUAUAAGUUUCAACUGUCAGCUUUUUUAAAUAAAUUUCCCGACAUUUAAUAUUGCAUUUCUCUUUGUGAUUGUACAUUGCGUUUAUGCAGAUUGAUCCCAAUCUACUUACCAUGUAAAAGACUAUAUUUAAUACUAUAUUUGUCUAUUUAUCAUGUAAAAACCUAUAUUUAAUACUAUAUUUAUCUAUUUAUCUGCAGCGAAGUGUGGGUUUUCACUAGUAAUUCUAUAAAGUUUAUUUUUAUAUAUUAUUUCUGUAAAAAUUUUAAUAUUUUUAAAUAUAUUUUUCUGAUUUAUUAUCAUUAUUGAACUAUUUAUAUUUUAAUAAAAUAUAAAUAAAAUGUUAAUUUUGCCAUCACAAAUAUCUCCCUUAAAAAAUCACAACAGUAUAAUAUAAAAAAAUAAAAAUGUUAAAUUAUCUUAUAAACUAAUCAGGGUUAAGUAUUUAACUUAUAGUUAACUAAAUUUUUCUAACGAAUUCUAAUGGUACAGACAUAUUUGAAAAUAUUAGGAUUUUUGUAGGAACAACAUAUAAACGUUGAACUUUAUGGCUAUAUUUGGUUCAAAGGAUAAAGAAAGAAUAAGAAAUUUAUGCCUCUUAUUCUUCCAAACGGUGUCAAAUAACGCCAAGAACUACUAUUUUCUUCUUAACGGGUUAUUCCGGAAUAACCCGUUAAGAGGGGAGAAUAGUAAUUCCACCUAUUGGGUGGAACAAGCUAUUCUCUACCUUAUUCCUCUACUAAUUAAAUUAUAAAUAAUUAUAUAUUAUAAUUAAUUAAUGCAAUUAAAUUUUUUAAUAAUUGACUAAUUAAUUAUUUAAGUUAUUAAAUUAAUAAAAAUUUAAAUAAUAAUAUAUUUAUAAUUAUUAUUAUUUAUCUAAUUAAAUAGUUAGCCAUAUAUUCAAUUAUUUACUAAUAUUUAUAUUAUUUAAAUAAUUAGUAUUUUAAUUGAUAUAAUUAAUAUAUUAACUAAAAAAAUAAAUGAUUAAAUAAUUAAUUACUAUUAACAUGUCGACUUAUUUUUUAUNAUAGUUAUUUACUAAUUAAUUAGAUAAAUAUAUCUCAUAUAGUAAUUUUAAUUAAUUUAUAAUGUAAUUUUGAUUAAUUUAUUUAUUAACUUAUUAAAAUACUAAUUAUUUAAAUAAUAUAAAUAUUAGUAAAUAAUUGAAUAUAUGGCUAACUAUUUAAUUAGAUAAAUAAUAAUAAUUAUAAAUAUAUUAUUAUUUAAAUUUUUAUUAAUUUAAUAACUUAAAUAAUUAAUUAGUCAAUUAUUAAAAAAUUUAAUUGCAUUAAUUAAUUAUAAUAUAUAAUUAUUUAUAAUUUAAUUNNNNNNNNNNNNNNNNNNNNNNNNNNNNNNNNNNNNNNNNNNNNNNNNNNNNNNNNNNNNNNNNNNNNNNNNNNNNNNNNNNNNNNNNNNNNNNNNNNNNGUGUAUCUAAAGAUAUAGAGCAAGUAUACGUAAGUUGUCUAACAACGAGUAGAAACGAAAAAGGGAAACUUAACCAAGGGGCGCAAAAGAUAAAAUAUAACAAUCACAAGUUUCAAAGCUAGUUAUAAGGGAGUGUUUCUUACAGAAAUGGGGUACAGGUCUCAUUCAACUUCCAAAACAAAAUCGAGAAGAGAGGAUAGACCACUUCGUCGAAUUCCUCGUAGCUAAUCGAGGGAUUCCUUGUCCCCAUCCGGAGCUCUCCCUGGGGGUGGCAAGGCUCUGAAAGAAACAUAAACAGGGGGCGUGAGAUAUAAUUAUAGUUCAGUGGCGAAUUACUGACCUUAGCAAAAUGCACAACUAGCGCAAGUCCAAACCAAUCGAGCGAUAUAGAAAGGAAAAUAGACAACUGCAGGAAUAAAAGCACCUAUAAAAGAAAAUGCUUUAUUACUGCUACUGCCACAAGUAUAUGUGUAAGACAGGAGUACAAUCUACUCUUAUAUGAUCCAAAUAUGCCCCAAUACAUACUCUAAUGUUCUAAUCACGGCUACCGUUGCUAUGCGAUGGCCACAGUCAUACGCUAUCACAGUAUAUACAAUGUCCAAAUGUCCGAUACUAUGCUAAAGGGCACUAUCCAAGUUUAAACCAACUACUAAUGCCUAUCAGUAGUGAAUUGUUAUACACCAGUUAAAUGUCAUGUCUCAAUCUUGUCUCUUAGGGACCGUACACAAGUGUAGGUCCGGCUUGUGCGCCGCUAGCUGCCUUGUGGUAGCCCUAUCAUUCCACGCUAGAGACAUGAGUCUGUCGCGCACAGACGACCCUAACAGGCGCCUCGCCCUACCGCCUAGGCUGCGUGGGUAGCUCGGUCAUUCCCCACGGCUGGAAAUAGGCUGUCCACCGCGACCCCUACAUGCAUCUCAUCCCGGCCGCCCUGCCGCCCCGCCGCUCAACCUGCCGUCCGCAAAAGGCCAACUCGGGUGGCCGGCUUGUAGGGACGACCUCACAGCAAUGUGCGGAAAAAUGAGCACAAAAUGCAAGCAAGCGAUUGAGUUUCUAUCAUGUAUGGAUCUCGUAUCAGUGUCUCUGAAAUAGAUAGCCAUAGUACCCAAGGGAUCUGUCUAUGUCUCAAGUGAAGUCUCCCAAAUUCACUUAAGUCUUAGUGCCUUUUGUAGACCGCUAGAACUAUUACGUAUAUACCAGCUGGUUCAAUUUUUCAUGCCUCUUUAUGAAUUUUAGUUUACUAGUGUUUCAUACAAUGUCCCAACUCAAUUUGCUCGCAUUUAUUCAUUAGAUUAACUAUACCAAUUUCCAAGUCCAAUGCCUCUUAGACAUUAGUUACUCUAUCAAUAGAUAGGUUAAUACGCAAGAUGUCCUUGCCGAUGAUCUCACACUUGCUAAUAUGUACCUAGCAAUGUGAUUCCCAAUGAUAUAAUAUUAAGCAUGCAUCUAUCCACUUAACAACAUGUUUUCAUGCUCCGUAUUGCAACUAUCUAACGAUAGCAAUAGUUCUGAUAAUGCUACAUUGCCCCCCCGGGCCCCCCCUUACACUUUCCAAUGAAUACAAUUUAGCAUGAAUUUUUUUUUCUUGUAACUGUAUCAUACACAUACAAUUCACUAUAUUAUUAAGUUUUGAUAUAUGCCUCUCUUAUGCAUUAAUAUGCUGGCUUAUUCAAUAGCUCAAGCUCAGAUGUCGCUUACGACAUUAGCCUCUCUAACUGCACAAGUUAUUCAAGUUCAAAGCCACUUUUAUGGCUAAUGUAUUCUCUUAUGGUCCAAAUGAGAAUUUAUGUCCAAGGCAUAAUUAAUUUGUCAUGGUUUUAUUAUAUGGGAGCAUGAUUUCAGUCCCGAGUUGAAUUUGCUAAAAACCCAUUCUGACAGUAAGUCUCAAACAUGCAGGUUCUCUACUACAUUAGAGGGUCCGAAUGCAUGUAUAUAAACAUGUGGCAUUUAUUAUCUGUCAUAUUCACUAAAUGCAUAUGAUCUCAAAGCCAACAAUUAGAUGCUAUCCAAUUUAGGGCAAUGCCAACACGAACUCUCUACUACAUUAGAGGUCCGAAUGAUUUGUAUAUAACAUAAGCAUUUCAGCAUUCUAAAAUUCACAUAUAGCAUCUAUCAUGAAAAUCGUGAAAUUCUAUUUUUACGAUAUUAAAAUCCACAUAAAUGAGAUUUUUUAUUUGUGCGAAGGGUCCCCACCGAGACUCUACGCGCUUAGUGCCCCGACUCUCUUGCUCAAUGACUUUAGGUGAAACAUUGACUCACGAUGCUACGAUUCCGAUUUUGUUGAUUUUUUUGUUGGGAGCUUUACGCGCGAAGCUGCAGGCAAUCUGUACCGAAAUCCGGCUUCCUUCAAUAUCUUCGGUAGCUCGUCGUAUGCGAACCGACUUCGGCCAGGUAGUCAGAAACCUAGCAAUUUAGGUUAUAUACAGGCUCAAUCUAGAGUCGACCCUCACGAUAUUACGAAAUCUUCAUUUUUGACCUAAAUGCAAUUUACCCAAAUAAUCCAAAUUAAGAUGUGAGCAGCAAAUGCUAGAAUGCUCAUUAGAGGACUACCGUAGAAGCACUUAAAGCUAAGGAUUAAGACAAACCCAUAGCUACCCAAUGGUGAACGCCAGACGCACGAAAACACGCGCGAUCAGAGCGCACGAAGCUCGAUUCCGUUCGCUGCCCACGCGUUCGCAAGCUUUCUCCGCCGAACGCCGUGAUUUGGGCGAAAGAUCUCUGUAGAGAGAUGACGACGAGAUAUUUUUUAGAGGGAGAAAAGGGAGGGGUUUCGUCUAACUACAAUGAAUCGUGUGGUGUGCCGGUGGUGGUAGUGGCUGGUGAAGAUAGAAGAAGAAGCUAGAAGCUUUUACUUAUAGUCUUACCCCCAAUAGUUAGAUACACUAUUCACUUCAGGCACGUUCGAAAUCUGACUAUUUUUUCGCUGGGACGCCUCUGAAAAAUGCCGGUUUAGUUCAAAUUUUACGUUAUGUUCGGUUGUUUGCUUAACUUGACGAGAAAAAAUUUAAUUUUCGUUUCGACCUCCGUUUAUGGCACGAAAAGCUCGUACGAACUGUAAUUCUUUAUCAGAUCUGUCGGAUUUUACUUUCCACCCUUUCUGAGGGGACGAAUGUCAGUGAUAUGAAAUUUAAACUUAGCUCAUAAAAAUAAUUCUGGAUUUCCUCCAGUUUUUUAGAAUUUUUGAAGAUGUGAAUUUUCUGGUUAAAUAACCAGGCCGCUCGAUUCACACAGAAAAUUCAAAAUCUUCUGUUCUCGCUCCGAUUUCCGCACGAGCCGUUCCCGACUUAUAUUUAACUUCUAUAAGUCCAAUAAAAAUAGUAUCUCACACUAUUUUUAUUUAUACCCUUAUUAUAAAAUCCGGUAUGCUACAGGGCAUUAUCCACACCCCGCAACACAACAGUAGCCAAGUAGGCUACGCAACCUCUACUAAUCAACUGCCUAGCUCGAGAGGAUCUAAUCGUCAUCGCAAACAGCGAACUUUGGCAUCCUCGGUACACCACCUCCGCCUGCCCCAGCUCUCUAAAUGUCACCGUUCGAUUCUUGCAAUCGAUGGUGGCAAAGUAUUUAGUUAACCAAUCCAUGCCCAACACAACGUCAAACUCUCCGAGUUUCUGCAAAGCUAGCAAGUCUAUGGGCAUGAUCCAAUCUCCAACCCGAAUAGGGCAACUGGGGCAAAAUUUCCGAAUGUCCAAAGAAUGGUCGGGUACAACAACUCGGCCCGGGUGCAAUAAGGAUAUAAGUGGGAUGCCAUGCAACUCGGCAAAUAGUCGAUCAAUGAAUGAAUGCGAUGCACCGGUAUCAAAUAAAGCUCUAACUCGAAUACCAUGAAAUAAAAUGAUACCGGCGACCACAUUCUCGGCUGCCGCCGCCUCCUCAGUCUCGGUCGCGUACAUGCGCCCGCUCGGGGCCUGUCGUGACCCCUCCGCCUGCCGCAAAACUGGCGGCCGCCCUACCUGGUGAUGCGCAAAAGAUGUCCCCUGGCUGGGACCUGGCGAUGCUGGUGCAGACACCGAAGAUAGCGCUGGCGCUGGACUCCUCGGACAGUCCGACUGAAAGUGGCCCUCCUGACCACACAAGAAGCACCUGCCCCGACUGCGUGAACACUGUCGUGGGUAAUGAGGACCACCACAGAUCACGUAGCGGGGGGCCUGACGACGAUCGGGUCCUUCUUGCUGAGUAGACUGGCCACGUCCUCGCGACUGGCUCCGGCUCCUGGGGUGCCUCGGCGGCCUCCGUGAGUGCGUCGGACUCACACCCUCAGCCGCGGGCCUCAUGCCCUUCCCUUUCUCCGAGCUCUCGCGACGCUCCUGCAAAUCCGCCGCUCCUGCCUCCACUAUCAAAGCUCGAUCCACAACCUCUCGAUAGGUCUGGAGGUUGGAAGACAGCACCAACCAGAAGAUAGAAGGCCGCAAACCACGCUCAAAGAUGCGGGCCUUGUCCUCGUCGUCCCUCACAACAAACGGUACACAGUGUAAUAUCCGGGAGAACUCCCUCUCAUACUCAGCCACUGACCGCUCAUCCUGGUACAAGCUGCGCAAAUCCUGCUCCAUCUUCCUCUUGACGCUGGUAGGAAAGUGGUGCGCUAGAAGAAGCUCCUUGAACCUCGUCCAAAUAAUCGCUGCCAAGUCGGUGUUCGGGUUGCCCUGGAUAUCCAACCACCAACGGUAGGCCUCGCCGUCCAGAAAGUUAGUGGCGAGCCAAACUCUGUCCCGCUCCUCUACAAAGGUGUCUCGAAACAGCUUCUCCAUAUGCAUCAACCACUUCUCGACAAUCUAGUGGUCGACGUUCUCGCCAUCAAACAUUCUCGCGCUACACCUCCUGAACUCACUGAGACGAUCCAUGAGCCGAUCCCGCUCAGCUCCCUCGGCCAUCACGGGGUAUGCCGCCCCUGUCGCCGGUCUCUGAACUGGUAGUGCCGCAACCACCUCCUCCCGAGGUGCGGUCGCCGGUGCCGCACGUGAAGAACUGGGCGCGAGGGACUGCGCCCUCAGUGCGACGUCCACCACGGGUGCUGGCGGUGUGGGACCCUGGGUCUCCCUCGAAGCUGCUGCCUGCUGAAGUAGGAGGUCCUCAAGAUGCUUCAUCCGCGCCUCCUGCCGAUGGGCCACCUCAGCCUGUCGCUGCGCCGCUGCCGUCUGCUGCGCCAACAGAUCAGUGAGAACCGCAAGCUGGGCCCUCAAGUCAUGGACCUCACUAGAUCCAGAAGUAACGGAGGUCUCGACCUCCUCGGGGUGUGCCGCAUCAUCCGCCCCGGCAGACUGGGAGCGUGUAAUCGGCAUCGUCACUACAAAACAUAAAAGCGCAAGUUAGUAACCCACGCUAUCGCAUCCCCGCUCAAAUAAAUAAAACCCCAAAUCAUGCGAAAGUAAGGAAGUGUCCUUCACUACUAACUCCCGAUGUUACGUUGUCGGUCGCCAACGUAACCCCCCGCGAAGUUAGAAGCCGUACACUCCGAUCAAACUCUAACUUUUUAGAGUUGUCAUAACCCAAUCGUAAUACUUUCGCUCACAAGUCAAUUAUACCUCGUCUCUCACGAGCCUAAUUCCUAUAGUCCAACCGGCCUAAGGUUUGCUAGGUCCUCUACGACUCAACCCUAGGCUCUGAUACCAAAUUAAUCUGUCACGCCCCGGGACCGGCGGAGGCCCUCCCAGUAGCGUGCCCAGACCCGCCAUAUGUCUACACAUAUAAGGCGUCUACAAUAAAAGCGGAAGUAAAAGCAAGAGAUAGAACAAAUAGAAUGAAUAGCAACUAAUGAUAUAAGAGCAAGUAAAGUUCUAUCAUCUAAACCAGAGUAAAAGAAACAUAUCUAAACAAUAAAAGUAGCCAUAAAGUGGUACAAUAUCUGUCUCAAAGGUACACAAAAGGGUGGUCUCUAGUACACUGGUACAACUCUCAACCUCUCCAAAAAGAAAUACAUCGAGAGGUAGACCACCUAAACUCAUCUCUCGCUGAAGGGCUAACUCGAAGCGAUGCCCUUCCCACGGUCCCUAGCCUCUCCCGACGUGGAAGGCUCUGAAAGAAAAUAUAAAACAGAGGGCGUGAGAACUAUAAUUUAUAGUUCUCAGUGGGCAAUUACUGACAUCAGUUCAAUGCACCACUAGGCCCCAAAAGAAAAAGGUAAGUCCUAGAUAGUGAUAACAAUAAAUAAAUUGCAAAUAUGAAAGCAUAAUUAAAAGCUACACUAAUGCAUUGCAAUUAAACAUGGCAUUUAUAUAAUGCACCUUUACCUUGUCAUGAAUGCUAUGCCUCUACAUGGCCACAUGGGAUAUCAUGAGAUACUUUAUGAAGUUAUGAAAGUGAUACUUUAUCAUAACUACAAUGCGUGUAAGAAGGCAAUAAACGACGUCUCCUAGCAUACUACAUGUAUAUAUGCAUACUCAUGUGUCCAACACUAUGCUAGAAGCAAACCCAAGUAAUCUAAUUACUACUCUCUAUCUAGUAGUGAUUGUCACACACUCAAUACUGUGUCGGUUUCCAUUUCCAAUUAAGGACCUACCCAAAGUAGUCCAGCUUGUGCCGCCUAAGUGCCUGUGGUAGCCCAACAUCCCUACUCUUGGAAUGUGUCGCCGCACUCUGACCUCUGAUAGCUUCUUCUUCAUAACCGCACGGAUUUGCGAAAAUAUAAUCGCCGUAGACGCCAAACUCCGAUCCGGCUUCGGGAGACGACCGACUCACAAGCAGUCGAAGAUGAGUCACAAAGCCAAGCAAGCAUCAUCCAACGUCUCAUAUCUCAAUCCUCGUUCCUAAACAUGUGAUCGUCACUACAUUCCGAAGAUCUAGUUCAAUGUCACAAAGCAAGUUCAACAAAGCACUAUCCAUCGCGGCGCUAGGUCCUCUUGAUGACACUUAGGCAAUUGAUUUCAACAUAAGCCAAUCCCCGCAAUGCUAACCACCAGGUUCACAGCAUUGCCGCGAACUCGAUCCGCUUGAUACAUUACUUCUCUAAUUCGGCAUUCAUUCUAUUCAAUAGCCUCUAUAUGGCGAUCUUGUCAUCUUUCAUGCUCACAAAUUAAAUCAAAGUUUAAAUGCAUGAAUCAAGCCCAUUUACCAGCUAUAUGAAGUAGAAAACCAAUCUCAUAAAUGCGAAAUGCAAAACGCAAAGUCUCGCCAACUUCUACUACUACAUAGAGGUCUAAAAUUUUACUAUAUGCAAUAUGGCAUUUUAAGCAUUCCUAAUAAUUCACAAUAAAUACAUACUAAGCAAGGAAUAUGCAUGCUUUUUUGAAUAACCGAUACUUAUUCAUCAACAUUAUGCCAAAGAAUUCCAUGUGUGGCUAGUCAAACCACCGAACUCGUCGCGCUAGGGCCCCGUUUCCUCCGAACAGGAGUUGUCCAAAGAGAUCUCAAUAUCCUAAAAGUAUUGAGCGAAGAGAUACAUCCGCAUUACGAUCAACAUAAGAUCAAUAUUAACCAACAAGACAAAAGGGCUAAAACUCACACUCAAGGAAGAAAUGUCAACCCCGGACCCGAUACUCAAUUUGGGCCGGUCCCUGAGCACGUCAAUCAAGACGCCAACGGACAGAGUUCCCCUACCGCCACAAGCCAUGCACAUUACAAAUCAAACAAAAUGCAUCUACGGAAACAUACAACACGCUUACACGAGUUAAGGCAAUAGCCAAUUAGUGAGAGAAGGAACAAACUAAACAUCUACAACAAUAAUAUGCAUCAUUUUAAUCAUAUACAUUGCAUUCAUUCUUACAUUUGGAUUCUCUUGUAUUUCAUUACAUCAUUUCAUCAUUUCUUCUCUUACAUCACAUUUUUCUCAAAUGAGCUUUCAUUCUUAUACUUUACCAUCACUAAUCAUCAAAUACAAAAAUGAACAAAGGGUAGCUACUAACAAAAUAAACCCAACUCGACUCUGGUGGCCUCUGUCUAAGGCCGGAUAACAUUUGCCUCGUCGCUCGCUCGUUCGCUCGGUCCCGGCUCUGUGGAAUAGUGGGUUAAACAUACAACAAAGUUCCAGUGGUUCGGCCCCAACAUCACCGACCUUCCCACUAGGACUAACUCAGGCAUAUAAGAAAGAAUAAGCUGUAUAGUAACCAAUCUAUCACAUGAUCCUAAUAUGCCUGAAAAAUAGCAAAGAAAUACGCUCAACAUUAAAAGAUGCAGAUUUAUGCAAAUUUUCUCGUUCUUAUAUCUUUACACUUUGAUCUUUUUCUUUAAUCUUUGCUCUUUAAUCUCAAGGCUAACACCGGGGUUUUGCCACAUUAACUGCUUCACAUAAGUCCAUCAUCGCAGAACUCACACCGCUAGGACCGUCUUCGGUCUACUCCAACCCGUGAUGCAUAACUCCGGACGCAUCGCCAGGGGAAGCGACCGCCCUGAGCACCGAACUCAUAGCAAGUAUAUCGAAUCCUUAACUCCAAAGAUUAUAAGUUCAAUCUUGACUACACACUAACUCUAGUGUUCUUCACAUCACUUUAUGUUGCCACUCUAGCAAUCAAUUUCUCUUUUGCAUUUCUUUUACUUUUGCUAACUCUAGCAAUCACAUUCUUAUCAUUACUUUACUUAGCUAUUCUUUAGCUUCACAUCUUUAACUUUACAACGUUCUUUAUGCCCACACUUAACGUAGCUAUUACUCAUUGAUAUCAUCUUUACCUCGCAUUAGUUCUUUGCCUCACACUAACUCAGUGUCACUUUAACAUUUUUCAAAUGCCACUCGAUCUAUGUCAUCGUGCCACUAGGUUCUUUUGGCUCCACUUUGUACUCCACAUUUCUCUCAUACAUACAUAUAGGUUUUAACAUUCAUAAGGUCCUGACCCUCACAUUAAGCAAGUUUUACUCACAUCAUGCAACAUCACAUUUUUUAUCAUCACUUUACCUAAAAUGCAUGCAACAAGUAUAAUAACAUAGCUCAAUUGAAAUGACACAUUAGGCAUAAGGGAGAAGUUCAAACGAGUUGGAAGCACCACCCACCUCGUAGGUCUCUUUAGGUGCUCCGACGAUUUCUUGGGAUUUUAGACACCCGGUUCACUACCUACAGGAAAACGAACCCUAUUAGCCAUUUUGCUCAUAUUUUACUUUGCUUUUCGUAAUGCUAAUCCAAGCGCACAACGCGUCGGAAAUACCCCCAAUUAGGUUUUUGAAAGGUCAAUUCACUUAGAAAUCUCCAAAGAGCAAAAGCCCACAAAUUUUGGUACUCUAGCUCCAUACAUAUACUAAAACCUAGGGUUUGAUCUCAUUAGGAAGCAAAAGUAGCUUCAAUACUACUCCAAAAUAGUCCAUUCGAACCAUCUUUAAACAAAGCAAUAACCCUUACUUAAAGGUUCACCAUGAGAGGUGAUGAACCUCACCUCAAGCCCUCACCAUUUUCAUGGCCUUGAUCUCAAAAGAAGCAAAGGAAAAGCUUCAAAUACCAAAUGGUUCGCAUAAAAUCUAUUUUAGUCAUUUCAAGAACUCAUUCAGGGAUUUUAACUGAUAGUAUGGAUCAAAGCUUACCUACAAAAGCUUUCCUAUGUUGCUCCAAGGAGUGAAGAAGAAGAGGUAGGCUCACUACUUGAAUCUUCUUCCUUCACCUUCUUUCCCCUCUUGUCCUUCCUUUUCUUUCUUAUCUUCUCUCUCCUUUGGUCUUCUAGAAGGAGAGAGGAAGAUGAGAGUGUGAAGAGGGAGUAGAAUGAGAGAAACCCUCAGUGUCCCUCAUACAAACCAUUGGGUCCUGCAAAAGCAUCAAUAACCCCUCAACCUUUAUACUCCUUCCACAAGCCCCUGGACUGGGCUGUUCGCGCCAGCAGGAACCCGUCUCCUCCUUCAGUGGACCGGUUCCCCGAAGGUCGUCCCAGCGCAGCAGAAGCUGCCUGCGCGCCAGUGCCAUACCGGUCUCUCUUUGCGGGACCGGCUCCUCAGGCAAGGAUCGUAUCCGAGAGCUAAAUUUCUCAGAGACUUAGCCGAUAUUGGCUGCACAAAUCAUAUCGCGUCUGGACGUCUUAUCCACCUGUCACUCGCACCCGGAUACUCGUUCCCGGGCACAUCGACAAAUCCGCCGUAAUACAAAGAAAUAUCCCUUGUAUACGAAGCGUCAAAGUAACCUUAAAAUAACGAUACACAAACAGUACAAAGAGCUGCUCCAACAAAAACAAAUAACUGAGUUCAUAUAAUAUACUAGAAUACACAAAAUACAAGGUUACUCGCACUGGCGAGUAAACAACUAAAUACAUAAAUCCAAAACAACAACUACCUUGCAGUUAUGAAAGCCUCUAGCUCUGACUGUCGGGCUAGGAGCUCUAGCUUCGCAACCCCUGCCUGAUCCUGGUCGCGCGGAAUAUCAGCAGCGCACCUGUGGCCGUGCAAAACAGAGUAACAACUGGCGUGAGACACUACUGUAAAAACAGGUAUGUCUACCCAGUGGGUGCCGCCAAACAACAUCGGUCUAACCCACACGUAAAGUUACAGAAAGAGAGCAAAAAAAAGUAGGAAAAGCAGAAGUACACCUACGCGUAUCAAAUCAACACGCCAUCAUGCCUCACACUAACCCAAACUGUAGGAAAUGUCAAAUCUGACCUAAUCCAAUCGGACUGUAAACAUAUCCCUCCUUUGACUGAAUACACGUCCCUGCCGUUCGACUACCAGCUCCCCCCACUAUAACUUGGUCUUGGAGAAGCAAUCCAACGGCAUAGCGACACCAACCGCGAAAGCACAAAGCCUGACUCCGGAGUGCACUCGUGGCCUACCCACCUGAGUAUCAGCGUAUCCUUCGAGCUCAAUCAGCUCCGACCAUAGCAAAGUCCAAGUAAUGAACUCAACAUGAUCCAAACAACCAAUCAGGUAAACGUCCCCCGCACAGGUCUACGCCAAAAUAAGGCUGAUACGGGCCACCGUCAAUCUCUGACGGCACCCAACAGUUCCGAAACAACCUAGAACGACCUGGUAAAAAUCCACAUCGCGAACCAGCACGAGUGUAAAUACAUUCUAGACUACCUGGAGUACUCGUCUCGAAGAAACUGCGACAGUACAAUUUUCUAACGGCUCCUAGAGCUAAAUCAGGCAGUUUAUACAGGUGACAGGUCCAAAUCGCAGGUUUUCUCCUAAUUCAAUUUUCAAGUCCAACAUGUAUAAUCUACUUAAUUUAUAAAACAUGCUCCAAAAUUCAGAUUUCACAAUCUACAAUUAAUCCAUGAAUUUGAGCUAACAUUAAUUACCGAAAUCAAAAUCUAUACAUGUCGACCAAUAAGAACUUAGGAGUAAAGCCGAUGUAACCCACCUCGCACGCAAAUCCCCGGCAGCGAAACACUCUCACAGCUGUGGCUCCACCUGCUGGGUCGAUCGUAGUACUUCGAUCUCAAGAAUCGCGCUAACUCCAAGCUCUACACCAACCAAUCACCGAUUCAGUCCAGAAUUUGCAGCAGUAGAGUAGGAAUGAGAUUCGACCAAGCUAACCUUCACCAAAUCUGGCAAGUGAGGGCUUCGUGGAUUCCUCUCGAAGUUCCGAAUCCAACGAACCAAGUCUCGUCGAAAUCCGAUGCUCCUACGUCGCGUACGAGCCAAAACACCGACAGUAGACGCAGAAAUCUUAGAACCAGCACGACAUCAAGGAUGGCGAAAAUCCGCACUCGCCCGGCCUCCUCGCAGCAACACGACGUCGAAAAUAAGCUCGAGCGGCUCCGCGGCACGCCGUCGACGACGAAUCCGAGCUUCGCGGCUACCUCUACGCGGCUCCUCCGCUUCGGCUCUCCACUCCACACGAAAGAGAGAAAGAAAAACUAAUUAGAGAGGUUUAGGUUGCUUCCCUUAAUUAAAUGCAUGGAUAACUAUGCAUGGGGGCACGUGGCACCCACCUAUAUAUAUAUGUAUAUACAUGGGGCAUGUGGCAUCCAUAUAUAUAUAUAUGGAUGUAUAUUUAAAGGAUACUACAUCCUCCCCCACUACAAUAAGUUUCGUCCUCGAAACUCAAACAUACCUUUGCUCAGGCAUCAAACAAAAAGGGAUAGGCCUCCCUCAUCACCGUCUCAGACUCCCAAGUCGCCUCCCGCUCAUCAUGAUUAUUCCACUGCACUUUCACAUACGGGAUGACCCGACUGCGCAAUUCUUUCGUCUCCCGAGCAAGAAUCCGCAACGGUCGCUCCUCAUAUCUCAGAUCCUCGCCAAUCUCAAGUGGAGUGAAGUCAAUCACAUGAGAGGGAUCGAAAACGUAUCUCCUCAAUGCUGAGACGUGAAAAACAUCAUGGAUGCCAGCAAGUCGCGGGGAUAGAGCUAUCCUGUAAGCCACCGGUCCGAUACGCUCCAAUACCUCGAAAGGGCCAACAAAACGUGGACUAAGCUUCCCACGUACUCCAAAUCGGCGUAUCCCUCUGGACGACGAGACUUUGAGAAAAACAUGAUCUCCAACCUGAAACUCCAAGUCUCAUCUCCUAGUAUCGGCGUAACUCCUCUGUCGGCUCUGUGCUGUCAAAAGGUGUCGUCGAACGACUCUCACCUUUUCCUCAGCCUCAAGUAGAAUCUCUGGUCCAAGUGUCUUCCGCUCUCCCACAUCACUCCAAAAUAAGGGGGAUCGACAUCUGCGUCCAUGCAACGCCUCAAACGGAGCCAUCUGGAUGCUCGCUUGAUAGCUGUUGUUGUACGCAAACUCAACCAGUCUCAAAUGUCGAUACCACCCUCCUCCAAAGUCCAGGACACAUGCCCUCAGCAUGUCCUCUAGAGUCUGAAUGGUCCGCUCUGACUAACCAUCUAUCUGUGGAUGAAACGCCGUGCUAAAAUGUAGCUGUGUACCCAAGGCGGUCUGAAGACUCCUCCAAAACUGGGAUACAAACCUCGGGUCUCUGUCUGAUACAAUCGACACUGGCACGCCGUGCAGCCUAACGAUCUCAUCCAAGUAUAGCUGCGCAAGUCUCUCCCUGGACCAGGUAGUCUGAACCGGUAGGAAGUGAGCAGACUUGGUCAGUCUGUCCACUAUCACCCAAAUCGCGUCGUAGCCACCCUGCGCUCUAGGCAAUCCAACGACGAAGUCCAUCGUGAUGUGCUACCACUUCCACUCGGGAACUGGCAGACUCUGAAGCUUGCCAGCAGGCACCUGAUGCUCGGCCUUCACCUGUUGGCAAGUCAAACACUGAGCCACAAAUCUGCCAAUGUCCCUCUUCAUUCCAGGCCACCAGAACCGUGCCUUAAGAUCCUUAUACAUCUUGGUUCCCCCAGGGUGAACCGUAUAAGGGGAACAAUGAGCCUCUCUCAGAAUAUCCGCUCGAAUCUCCGGAUCCACAGGCACACACAGUCGGUCCCUGUACCGUAGUACUCCCGAACUGUCCAAAGCAAAACCCUCAGCCUGCCCCCUGUCUAGCUGCUCUCUAAUCCUCAACAAGUACGGAUCUCCACUCUGUUUCUCUCGGAUCCUAUCCAACAGAGUGGGCUGUAAAACUAGAGACGUCAGCCUCGCCGUAGACCCAGGGGGUACUAUCUCGAGUCCCAGCCGCUGUAGCUCCUCGAGUAGGGGUCUCUGCUCAGUAAUCCUCAAACUCAGGCUCUGCACUGACUUCCUGCUCAACGCAUCUGCCACCACAUUCGCCCUGCCGGGAUGAUACUGAAUACUAAUGUCAUAGUCCUUCAGUAACUCCAACCACCGGCGCUGCCUCAGAUUCAGCUCCCUCUGUGUGAACAGAUACUUGAGACUUUGAUGAUCGGUGAAAACCUCGCAGUGCUCGCCGUACAAGUAAUGCCGCCAGAGCUUCAAAGCAAAAACCACCGCGGCAAGCUCCAAGUCAUGCGUAGGGUAAUUCUUCUCAUAAUCCUUUAACUGCCGUGAAGCAUAAGCAAUCACCCUACCAUGCUGCAUCAGCACGCAACCAAGUCCACUGUGCGAUGCAUCACUGUAGAUCACGAAUCCAUCCCCCAUCACCGGAAGGGCAAGGAUAGGAGCCGACGUCAACCUCAGUCUCAACUCGUCAAAGCUCCUCUGACAGUCGUCGCUCCAGACAAAACGAAUCCCCUUCCGCGUCAAGCGUGUGAGGGGUGUGGAAAGCUUCGCAAAGCCUUCCACAAACCGACGGUAAUAUCCUGCCAGUCCCAGGAAGCUCCGUACCUCAGUCACCGUCGUCGGUCUAGGCCAAUCUCGAAUCGCCUCAAUCUUCUUCGGGUCCACUGCUACGCCCUCGGCUGAAAUCACGUGGCCCAAGAAAGCGACCUCCCGUAACCAAAACUCGCACUUCUUUAACUUGGCAUACAACUUCUUCUCUCGCAGAAGCUGUAGCACAAUCCUCAAGUGCUCCUCAUGCUCAGCAUCGCUCCGGGAGUAAAUCAAGAUAUCAUUAAUAAAGACUACCACAAACCUAUCCAAGAACGGCUUGAACACUCUGUUCAUCAAAUCCAUGAAUGCGGCAGGGGCAUUCGUCAAUCCAAAAGGCAUCACCGUAAACUCAUAAUGCCCGUACCGAGUCCGAAAAGCCGUCUUGGAAAAUCCUCGGCCCUCACCCUCAGCUGGUGGUAACCUGACUGGAGAUCAAUCUUCGAGAAGACAUAAGAUCCCUGCAGCUGAUCAAACAAAUCAUCAAUGCGCGGCAAGGGAUACUUAUUCUUGAUGGUCACUUUAUUCAGCUCCCGGUAAUCCACACAUAACCUGAGCGAACCAUCCUUCUUCUUUACAAAUAGCACUGGCGCUCCCCAAGGCGACACACUGGGUCUCACAAACCCUUUAUCCAUCAAAUCCUGAAGCUAUGCCUUUAGCUCUCUCAGCUCUGCCGGUGCCAUCCGAUAAGGUACCGUUGAGAUUGGUGCAGUUCCAGGAACUACAUCAAUCACAAACUCAAUCUCCCUCUCCGGCGGCAACGUAGUCAACUCAGGGAAAAAUACAUCUGGAAACUCGCGGACUACUGGGAUGUCCUCAAGUCCCGGCGCCGCCGUUGGUACCUCCACAAUAGUCGCUAGGAAAGCGAUACACCCGCUACUCAGCAUCUGUCGAGCCCUCGCCGAAGAUAUCCAGGUGGCAAAUAGCGUGCUCCUGCAGCCUCUGAAAGUGAACUCCUCCUGACCUGGCUCGCGGAACGUCACCGUCCUCGCUCCACAGUCGAUCGUAGCGUAGUACCGCGCCAGCCAAUCCAUACCGAGCACGACGUCGAAGUCCUGCAGCUGCCCUAACACCAACAAGUCUGCAGGCAUGACACACGAGUCCAACUGCACCGGACACGACAAACAACACUCCGCAACCAGUAAAACAUGGUCCGGGAUCUGCACCUCUCGUGCCUGUGACAAUGCCCCUAACUCUAGCCCAUGCAACAAUGCAAAUGCUCGGCUAACAAAGGAAUGCGAUGUACCAGUGUCGAAAAGAGUGCGAACUCUAAUGCCAGAAAUCAAAGUGAUACCUGCCACCACUCGGUCGGCUGCUGUAGAGUCCUCCACCUGAGCUGCAUAGACUCUACCACUCGGAGCCUGCUGUCGAAGCUCACCCUGUCGCGGCAUGGACGACCUAUCCUCCUGGCGGUAACUCGGUGCUGCUCUGUAAGUCUGCUGAGGUGCUGGUGGAGCUGAAGCUGAUGAUGGUGCUGGAGAUGCUGCUCGAGGACAAGCUGCCCUCAUGUGUCCCGGCUGACCACAUCCGUAGCACCGGCCCUCCCUCUGCUCACACUGUCUGGGCCAGUGUGGUCCUCCGCAGAUCACACACUGCGGCGCCCUCUCAGGCUGUCCUCUCUUACGGGAGUCUCUGGAUCGCUGACGUCCUGAGAACCCACGACCCUGAGAACGCGAUCGUGGAGGUCUCGGCGGACGCCUGCUACUCGAUUGGCCUCCGUCGUCUGGAGCUGGGCGCUUCCUGUCCUGAGUCUGUCCCGGCUCCUGAGCCCUCUCUCGCAGUGACACCUCUCCUCUCUCCUCCCAUAGUGCUUGCUCAAUGGACGCGUCCAAAGUCCUCGACCUCUGCGCCCUAACGAACCUGAACAGGUCGGGUCUCAAACCCUGCUCGAACAAGUAGACCCUAUGUGCCUCGUCUCUGGCCACGAACGGAACACAGUUCAGGAGUCUAGUAAACUCCCGAACAUACUCCUGAACUGUCCGCUCGCCCUGCUGGAUCCUCUUCAAAUCCUCCUCAACCUUCUGUUUCAUGCUGUUCGAAAAAUACAUCCCAUACAGCAUUCCACAGAACUCAUCCCACCUCAGCUGCGCUGCCUCCAGUCUCUGGUCUCGCCUCACUCUCCGCCACCAGUCACGUGCAUCACCUGACAAACAGUGUACUCCCAAAGGUACCUGCUCCCCCUCUGGAACGUACAGAUCCUCGAAUAACCUCU
Molecule: long non-coding RNA, 76075 nt
Filed under: Ananas comosus (pineapple)
Lineage: Eukaryota; Viridiplantae; Streptophyta; Magnoliopsida; Poales; Bromeliaceae
Description: long non-coding RNA (ACOM_LNC024663)
Source: RNAcentral